RNAcentral lists this long non-coding RNA (60427 nucleotides) under Glycine max (soybean). RNAcentral's name for it is "long non-coding RNA (GMAX_LNC004480)". The stretch from base 60237 to 60427 matches the Rfam family "U2 spliceosomal RNA". The record is from RNAcentral. Lineage: Eukaryota; Viridiplantae; Streptophyta; Magnoliopsida; Fabales; Fabaceae.
GUGGGUCAUUGGUCCACACGAUAUUAAAUUACUUUUUUAAAGGGGAGAGGCCAAGACAGUAGCUUGCUACUGGGUCUCUCAUGUGUCGCCCAUGCGUUGCACUAUAGCUUUGGGCUUGGCACUCCCUCCGAUAAAAUUAAAGUUUUUCGAAAGAAAGAAAAAAUGUAGGGAAGUUAGUUUCUAAUACGUAUAGUCUUCCCUAUCAAAAUAUAAAAUCUUAUUUAUCUACUAAUACACAACCGUGUCUCGUAUGUUUUCUGUGGUGGUAGUUGAUGCGGGUUUGUUCUUCAUUAAACAGGUUUCACUGAUUUAUAUCAUUUUAAUAUUGGAUUCAGAACUUGGUACUCAAGUUGUGCAUUAGUAGAUUCAGGUUUAAGGUAUAUUUGGUGAAGGGAAAAGGAACAGGGGACAAAUGCAUGGCUCAAGCAUGACAGUCAAGUGAAUUGGCAAGGUAGGUGAGGAUGACCUCACAGAUGGUUAAACUAGCUUAGCAUGCCCGGAAGUAUUUGCGUUCGCGCGGCCUCCUCUUAAUUGAGUCUUAUAUUUUGUUGUUUCUUAUUCAAGGUUCUGUUGUACAUAUGAAACUUUUCUAAAGUAACGUACUGUAAGAUGGUAAUAAAACAUUUGGGAAAAAAUGGAAAUUAUAUUAAACCCAAAAUGAUACAAUAAUAAACGGGGCAUACCCCGCAGUUAAAGAAAAUCAAAAGUCUUCCUAAUACAAGAAGACAUAUAUCAAGAUGCUAAAACAAAUGCAACAUGUGCGUUUGUCUUAUACAUAAGAAACUUAAUCUUGCUAAUAACCUCUAUGACAGAAAAUUGAUAAUCUUAAAAAAUCAGCUUGUUCCUAGACAGCCAAAUGCAGUAGACUGUAAUUGCUAUAGCCAGGCAACGUAAUUUUUCUUGAACACCUGAUGUGGAUCUGCCCCUAAUUAAAGAGUCAGUAAUGCGCUGUAAAGAAGUGAAACGCCUGCGGAAAGGAGCCAAAUCACGAAUGUGAGCCCAAACUUGGAGAGAUUUUCUGCAAGAAAAGAAUAAAUGAGCAUUUGACUCAGGCUCAUUUAAACAUAAAGGGCAGAGGGAACCCUUGUUCAAAAAAGCAACUUUGUCAAGAGUAAGCAGCCGAUUCCUUUUAACAAGCCACAAAAUGAAAGACAUCUUAGGGGGGAUUGCUGGGUUCCAUAUAACAGAACACCAACUAACAGUAGGCUUGACACCUCUAAUGUAUUCAUAGACUUUGUCAACAAGCAAUUGUUCAUUGGUGCUCUAAGAUUGAAUCCUCUUUUUGGCCUCUUCCGUACUUAGCUCUUUAGAGAUAAUAAAGUCCCUUAUUUGAAUGAUUUUCUUUAUCAAAACUGAAUCUGAUGAAGAAGAAUUGUAAUUCCACACAUCGCUCCCUCUGAAAUAGUAAUGGUGAAUCCACCGAAUCCAUAGAGAAUCUUUCUUACAAUAAAAGUCCCACAGAAUACGGGAAAGAAGCGCAAGGUUCCAUAGUACUUUAAGACGUUGUUUAAUAGAUGACCGAAAGGCCAUAGAAGUGAAUCAGAUGGAAAUACUGGCCUUGACAAUAUAUUAGUUUCUAGCCCGUCAUUUUAUUAUUUUAAAUUUUAUAAAUCUUGUUAUACCUUUCUUUUUUAGUUAUUAAAUAACAUAUUUGGUGUUUAUGUAAUAUUUUUCGAGUAAUUCAAUGCACAUUGGCGAGUAAUUCAAGCCCCCAGUUUCAUUUAGUACCUUGGAACUAUACCAUUUUGGUCAUCUUGUAGUGGUGGUGCCCAGAAAUUAAUUUAUAAUAUAACCACAGCAUCAGGAACCAAAAUAAUGCAUAUUUGACCAAAAUGGCAAGGGUGGAUCUUUCCAUUUAUAAUAUAACCACAGCAUCGGGAACCAAAAUAAUGCAUAUUUGACCAAGAUGGCAAGGGUGGAUCUCUCCAGGAUUAGUCUCCGACCAUUCAAGAUGAGUGAUGUUGACGAUUUCUUGAUAUGGGCAGGGGAUGAUCAAGUGACUCGAAACCUCCGAUGGAAGACGUGUGGUUCAAGGGAAGAGGCUCUGGCCUUCAUAAGGGAUGUUUGCAUACCUCACCCAUGGCGUAGAUCAAUCUGCCUUGAUGACCGUUCCAUCGGCUUUGUUUCGGUGUAUCCUUGGUCGGGCGAUGAAAGGUGCAAGGCCGACAUAGGCUAUGCUAUUGGGACCAACUACUGGGGCCAAGGGAUAGCUACCAAAGCACUCAUGACUGCAGUGCCUCAAGUCUUCAAGGACUUUAACGAAUUGCUAAGGUUGCAGGCUUUUGUUGAUGUUGAGAACAAGGCUUCUCAGAGGGUGUUGGAAAAGGCUGGGUUCCUUAGAGAGGGUGUCCUCAGAAAGUACACUUAUCUUAAGGGGGUUGUUAAGGAUUUGGUUUUGUAUAGUUUUUUGUCAACGGAUGAAAUUACUUCUUGUGACUAGUUUAAUUUGUAGUAAUGUUUGGCCUUGUUUUGGUGCAAAUAAUGUAAAAUUCACUGUAAUAAUAUAUUUUUGCAUCUAUGUCCUUGGUUUUGUCAUGGAUAUGCGUGUUUCUGGCGUCCUUUCAUUUGAGAAUAUAGAGUUGGAUUUAACAUUGUUUAGUUUUGGAACGCAAAGCUAUGGCUUGGGAAAAACUUGUUUGUCCUUGCCAGCUCCAUGUUGCACACUUUGAAAAUAAUCCAUUAAUAAUACCCAAAGAGUGUUUACUCUAAUCCUUUUCAUGAAAGCAGACCAAUUAUACUCGUUUGAGACAGAUUCCUCCAUCUGAUGGUGUCGUGAUGUUUAACUUCAAUCCAUUAUAAACACAACUUUCUGCAAAAUUGUGUUUCCCUUGAUCACUAUCUGCAAAAUUGUGUUUCCCUUGAUCAUAUGGUUUACUGUUGUGCAUGUGGAAAACAUCACAAUCAUGGAUGUAGUAUGCGUAUGGACUUCCCCAAUAGUUUUUGAAUUUGACCCACUGAUUUUAAUACAUUGAUGCCUUCUCUGCUAUUGACAGUCACUUGUUUCACUUACUAUUUUGAUAUAGACAUUAACAUUAGACUAGGCUUUGUUAAUCCAAAGAUGCAAAGAUAACAACUAUUAUUUACAAAACUGAUACCUGGUAGUCUCACAUCGUUCAAAAUGCAUGCGGAUCUGGUUUAGUGCCCAACGAAUGCCAUGUUUUUGCACGCAAGGCGUCAUCUAUUUAUCAUUCUUUUUUUAUCUGUUUUUGAAACCAAUCAUUUUUUUUAUAUCUAAAAAUCAAAUUAUAUGAUAUUUUGCAUUUUUUCAAUUUACAUAUUUAUGAGAAUUAAAUAAAAUAAUAAUCAAAUUUUAAAAAAGAUUCUGUCUAUUUUAUAAUUUGAUUACAAGAUUAUAUAUAAACAUGUUACAUUAUAUUUUCCCACUGAAAACUUUUGGCCAAACUUUUAUAAAUGUUUAAUUUAUAUAUUUAUUGAAACUAUUACUUGUACUUAAGAUGCAUUUAAAUCUAUCUGCUUUUCUUUUUUAACAGCAUUUACACCUAUCUGUUUAAUAAAAAAUCGAUGAGCUCGAUAUUUAAUAUAAAUGAUCAACUCUUAUAUUGUACCCGUAAUUAAGGUAGAUCUAGUGUGUACCAUUAUAUCAAGGUGAUCAGAAACAACACGAAGUUAAGUCUUAAACAUACGAGAAAAACAUAUAUAAUUGGCUAUUUGCAAUUUGGUAUGGCAAUGAUCUUGUGACGAAUCACCCUGCGACCAUUCAAAUUGAGCGAUGUAGAUGAUUUCAUGGUAUUAGCAGGUGAUGAUAGAGUGACAAAGCUUUUGUUGCUGUGGAGAACAAAGCAUCCCAAAGGGUGUUGGAAAAGGCAGGGUUCGUUAAGGAGGCCAUACUCAAAGUAUUCCCAUGUCAAGGGGAUUAUUAAGCAUGUGGCUAUUUUUAGUCUUGUGUUACAGGUUACCCAUCCUCCAUUGUAACAACCAAUCAUUGGUAUGGGGAGUCUGAGUGGUACUUGUGGUAAUUCGUGAAAGCCAAAGUCAGUCUUCGUUUCUAGUCUUUUUGCAUUAGUUGAUUACUUGAUCUUUGCAGCAUCUGAAAAUGCUGCAUUCUGUUUCUGAAAGGUUGCAAAAUGCUAGUGUGGUAUCUUGACUAUUAAAUUAGUUCUCCCUAGAUAGAACACAAACCUGGUUCAGGUCAGAUAGCUUUAAAAAAUUGCUGUUGAAGUUGGUUGACGUUAGUAAAAUGUUAAAACUGCUGUUAAAGCAACCCAAACUGCCUAUUGUAUUAAACUAAAACUUAUUUCAAUAUCUUAUCCUAAGCUUUCAGAUUUAUGGUCGAACUUGUAUUCAUAAAUUUUUGCUUACUGUCUUACCCUUCUAAAUUGAUUAUAUUUCUUUUCACCCUAUUUAAUCUUGUAGUCAUUUAGGAUAAGUUAUAUCAUAACUAGCUUGAUAAAUCUAUAAAACAGUAGGCAAGAAAUUAACCUAAAUUCACAUAUAUAGAGAAUAUCUUCAAGGUCCCGAACUGAUAAACCAAAACAGUCCAGGUUAGGCUUUUAAAUGUUAAUGAUAUUUUGGGUUAGAGUCUUUUAAAUGUUCUCUGUUCGAGUUCAGGUUGGGCUUCAACACCAACCGAACCCAUGUACCCCCAUAUUACACUUCCUAUGUGAUAUUCACUGUGUUCAUAAAUUAUAUACGGAGAAAAGAAAAGGAAAAGAUUAAGAUCGUUAGUAAUUAAACAAAUAUUUAAAUACACUACGUGCCAGAGUGUAGAGUCCCACAUGUUAUCCAAAGUAACAAAACAAUACAUGUAACACUGCAAUCUGAUAGCAAUACCACAGUAGUAGACCACAAAGGAACACCAAGAGGCCCAGGUAACUUGGCCACUACGCGUAAGGAGGCAGCACUAGGAAAUGGACAAAACAGAAUAACAGAAUACCUUCUAGAUAAUAGUAACAAAGAAAUCUCUUGGUUUUCCCUUGUGAUCUGCUACUGUGGUAUUGCUAUCAGCAACAAAUCUUUGUUAGUAGUAUCUAGAAGAUAUUCAGUUAUUCUAUUUUGUCCAUUUCCUAAUGCUGCCUCCUUUGUGGUCUGCUACUGUGGUAUUGCUAUCAGCAUCUUCUACUUUUAGUUUUAGCUUGUGAUAUUGAUUCAUAUUGCGGUGAGCUGAUGAUGAUACUCAUGUCCCAUCUGUUGCAUCAUCAAGUAGGACCACAGGGAAAGACAGAAUUCAAGCAUCGAGAAAUAGAACAUGAACUCAUUGUGGAACCCAAACAACUGAACAAGUUAAUUAUCAUGUAUAAGUGAUUUGUUAGCUUGUAGCUUCCUCACAAUGGAUUAAAAUAAUACUACUAGUAUAAAGAUACUUGGUCUUACAAAGAUCAGAAAUAAUUGAAUGUAACAUAAUAAUUAAUAUGUAAUGAUUUAGUCCACAUAAAUUGUAUAAAUUAAGUUCAUAUGAAUUUCUCAAGAAAAAGGGAUAACACUAACAAGUUAGUUAAAUACUAAAUGGUGGCAGGACAGGACAACAUGGACGUUCCAAGCCAAGUUAAAAUCAUUGUCAACUCUUUUCUUUCUUUUUUCUAAGUCUAGAUCCUUUAUUGAAUUAAAUAAUUCUAUCCCUUAAAUAAAUUCAUUUGACUAACUUUCAAAUUAUCAAGACUUAAGUACGGUACCUUCAAACAAUGAAGUUUUUAAACAAAUUUUCGCAGUCCAGUCUAAAAAAAAUCUAUAAUUAAUCCUGUCUAUUAUUUUAUUUGUUUUCGUUUCUCUACAUGUGAAGGCUAGCAAGGUAACAUUUUAACCUCUUUUAUAAAUAACCUAUUAGAACAAUCUAUAUUACUAUUAUUGAAGAUUCAAGCAACAUAGUUCUUUCUUAUGUCACGUUUUACUCCCCUAAUAAGUUCCUCCCAUAAAAAUUUAAUUAUAUAUAUUUUCAUAAUAUUUAUAUUUAUAUUUAUAAUAUCCUUAAUCUCAAUUGGAUUCAAGGCAAUUAAUAUUACCUCUAUGAUAAUUAUUUUCCCUCUAAAAAUCAAAUUAUAAGAUGUUUUCCUUUUUUUUUAAAAAAAAUCUGAGACUUUAUUUUACUCUUGCCAUUUCUCUCUAAAUGUAAGGAUCUCUUGAUGUUUCUUGCUAUAUAUAUAUAUAUAUAUAUAUAUAUAUAUAUAUAUAUAUAUUUAUUUAUUUAUUGAUAUAGUAUAUACAUGUAAAAUUGAUUUGGAUCUUAUAAAAUAAUUUAUUAUUUGAUUCAUUUUUUUUAGUUUUAUUCAUAAAUUAAUAUUAAUUUAUUUUUUUAUUGUGUUUUAUGUAUAUAGAUAUAUAAUACAAUAAAAAUGAAAAUUAUAAUUAAAAACAAAAAUAAUUUAUAUUUUGUUAAAGAACAAAAUAUUUGUUAUGCUUAAUAUCUUUAGUUUGGUCUAUUUUUGAAGUUUAAAAAGUUAAAUCGAGGUAGUAUAAAAAAAUUUAUUCUAUUAUUCAAUAAUAAAUUUAUCAUCCAUAUAUAGUGUUCUAUGAUUGAGUGUAAUGUUACACUGUAAAUGUCUUUUUUUCUCAAAAAAUAUCUAUAGGUUAAAUAAAAAAAUUGAUUUGCCUAAUAUUUAAUAUAAAUUAUCAUUUUUUUAUUUAACAUAUAGAUAUUUUUUGAUAGAGUGUACUAUAUGAUCGUGAUCAGAAACAGCAUGAAGUUAAAUUUUAAUCUUAUAUAUACCACACAAACGUUGGCUAUUUGCAUUUGGGGUAAGGCAAUGAACUUGUCGCGAAUCACCUUGCGGCCUUUGAAGCUGAGCGACGUAGAUGAUUUCAUGGUCGUAGCUGGUGAUGAUAGAGUGACUCGCUACACCCGAUGGAACACUUUUGUUUCGAGGGAGCAAGCGUUGACUUUCAUUCGAGAUCAUCAACAUCCAUGGACUCGCGCCAUAUGCGUUGACGAUGUAACCAUUGGAUAUGUGUCGGUGUCUCCUGGAUCGGGUGAUGACAGGUGUAGGGCUGAGAUUGGCUGUUACAUAGCUACCGAUUACUGGGGCCAAGGGAUUGCCACCGAAGCAACGAAGAUUGCUGCGUCACAAGUCUUCAAGGAUCUCCCUGGCUUGGUGAGGUUACAAGCUUUUGUUGCUGUAGAGAACAAAGCGUCCCAAAGGGUGUUGGAAAAAGCAGGGUUUCUUAGGGAGGCCAUACUCAAAAGGUAUGCGUAUGUCAAGGGAAUGAUUAAGGAUGUCGCUAUUUUUAGUCUUGUGUUACAGGAUACCCAUUCUUCUUCAUUGUAAACAUAAUUGAUAUUGUUAAAAGAUAAAUAUUAAUAAGUAUCUUUAUGGUAUUACUCGUAGCUAAGGUGUUUAAUAUAAAAAUAUUUUGUUGAAAUAUGUAAAAUUGCGUGUUUUUUAUUAUUAAUUUUGUAUUUUUUAUGACUUUUAUAAUAAUUAAUUUUUAUUUUUAGUUCCUUAAUCUUAAUCGCUAUCAUUAAGGAAUUAGUUAGUAACUUGUUAAAAUAUGGAGUGGGAUUUAAUUGGGUAGGUUAUUUUGUUAUCCGAGUUGUGACUUGCUAUUAAUAUGAGUUGUAUAGUCAGUCUUGGUUUGUAAUCUUUUUGCAUUAAUUUAUCUUAGCAGCAUCCGAAAAUUAAAUGCUACAUUUCUGUUUCUGAAAAGGUUGCAAACAGAAACUAAAAAGUGUUUAUCAUGAUUGUAUAAAAAAUAUUAUUUGUUUAAAAAUAUGACUAUAUUAAUUUCUUCUUGGCACCGUUAUCCCAAACUCCCAUUAAUAGCAUUUUGGUGUAACGUUGGAUCUAUUUGCACACUCGGGAUAGAAAGAAAGAGGCAUGAGGCAUGUGUAGACCGCCAACAUUAUUCACUUGCCCAAAAGAUGCGGGAGCAAGCCAAGGAGUUCGAGGCAAGUUCAUUCCUGUGACAGACACCAACAUUAUUCACUUUCUUAUUGAUAGAUCGAUGUGCAAUCACAAGCACUAGAAAAGCUAACAAAUUUGAUUUGGUGGAAAAGAAAGGUCAAAUAUUGAUAUAAGGGUAUUUUGACUAUUAAAUUAGUUCUCCCUAGAUAGAACCCAAAGCUGGUUCAGAUCAGAUAGUUGAUUCAGGUUAGUAAAAUGUUAAAAGUUAAAACUGCUGUAAAACGUAACAAUCCAAACUGCAUAUUGUAUUAAACCAAUUACAACCAGGUAUAUAUAAUAACGAUGCCUCCCCCCUUAUAUGUCAAUGAUAAACUACAAAUUGAACAGACAAAAGAUCUCCCCCCUACAAUUGAUAAAAGAUGAAAACCAGAAAGUUUUGAAUUCUCCUUAAAAAAUUGUGAUGAUAGUAAAACCUUUAAUGUCAAACUGCUCCCAAUAAAUGGAGUAUGUAUAUAUCCUCUCCAGUUUAUCAUUUUAAAUUUACGUUAUAGUAUUAUUUUAUUUUAAUUUUGUAUACUUUUUAAUGCUUAAUAUUAUAAUUUUCAAAAAAAUUAUAAUUUUUUAAUAAAAUAUAUAAGUCCAAUUUACCAUUUAUGUAACUCUUUUUUUUUUUACUGCAACCAUUUAUGUAACUCAAAGUGUCGAACAUUAGAUGUUUUGUUUACUUCAUUAGAUGUAUAUAUCACUUUGAAUUAAAAUUUUAUUUUAACUAAUAACUUGUACACCAUAAGUACGACUUCACUUAUAUUUAAACAAUUAUACUAGUUAAGUUUUUGAAAGUAAGUUAUGCCAGGUAAAACAUCCAAAAUAAAUAGAGUAGUGCAUUUCUUUUAUUUGACAUUGAUAAUUAAUUUAAUAUUUAGUAAGGAUAUGUUUAGGUGAGAUUUUAGAGGAAAUGAAGGAAAAUAUAUUUUUUCUUUAAGAUAAGGAGGGUUAUAUAAUAUUUAUAGAAAUAAAAAGAUUAAGACAUUAAAUUUAUAUUAAUAUAUCAUUUUUUUUUCAUUUUAAAAAUUUAACAAAUUAAAAAAUAAUAGUAAUUACUAAAAGUUAAUCUCUAAAACAACCUAAAUCUGACCCCAAAUUAGGACAGAACAUAUUGGUCGAAGUACACACAAAUCAUGAUUUCUUUCUUGGUUUACAUUGACAUUAAUUGAACAUGAUUUACCUGCUCUAACAAAUUCCUCUCUUACAUCUAUAUGUUAUUAACAAGCAUUUAGCCAAAUGUGCAACUACCCAUAUUCUACUUUACAUAUUACAUCACUUGCACCCACGAACCCGAACUUGGCACACCCUUAUGAACCACAAACAAAAGGUAAUACCCCGGCGGCGCAAUCUCCGCCGUGGAAGGCCCUACCACGGUGGCAUAAUAAGCCUCGCCGGCCAGAUACGUCACCCCACUCAACUUCAACACCACCAUCCUCUGAUUCUGUCCAAAAGAGUGCGUAGUAAACGACGGUGCCACGAUCUUAACCGAAACCUCACUAGCCGAAGCAAAAUUAGGCACCGUGAAUGUGACGUAACAAAAGACCCUAUACCCCAACACAUUGUUGUUCGUAAUAUACCUAAUCGUUGGCCGCACCGGAUCGAAAUCCAGCGCCAAAUACGGCGGAGAAAACGCUUCCAAGCUAAGAUCAGUGGGGUACUCAACCCCGGUGAAAUUGUAAAAGACAUGUGGGUUGCUACCACCAACUAAAACUCUUCCAUCUCUCAAUAACACCGCUGAAGAGUGAUAUAACCUAGGUCUUGACGCUGGUGCCAUCACACUAAACCGAUUCACCGUCUCCGAUGGCCGGAAUAACACAGGCGUCAAGACCGGGUCAUGGCCAUGUUCCCACCCGGCGGUCCCGGCCCCUACGCCGUUAGUUAUAACGACAUCUCCAUUAGGGAGAAGAAGCAUGUCUCCCAUAGCUCUUGGCAUUGGCAUGUUCUCCAUAACCCAAUUAGGGUUAGGGUCAGUGACUUUGAUCCUCCCGCACGUGCCAAGGGCUUGCACGAAGUUCCCACGUGCGGCACUCUCAAACGAGCCACGUGGCGCUCCGCCGCACACCACAACUUCAGCUUCGAGGGAAGCUAAGUUUUCGUCUAGUGGGAGAAGAACGGAAGAACCCGAGCUAGGGUAGUUACGAGGAUCACCACCUGGGAUUGGAGGAAACUCUUUGAUCACACUGUUUUGUUUGUAGUCGAAUAACACGGAUUUUGUGUUGGCGAAGAUGAAUAGGUUUCCAUCGGGUAAAAGGUGCACGAAAGGGUAUAAAUUAUUUUCACUUCUAUCGCUGGUUUGUUGGAGAAAGUUAAGUGGAAUAGACGAGGGAGAACUGUUAGGGCUAGGUGUUUUAGGUAAGAAUUCAUAGUUGAAUUGUCUUCUACCUCCAACAACAAUUACACGAGCAUCUGGGAGUAUUUGGUUCGUUGCAUACCAUCGUCUUUGUGACAACAAACCUGGGAAUUCGACCCAAUCGCAUGUUUCAUCGAAGCAUGGGGUGAACAUGCGAAUGCUACGUUCACCGUCGUUGUAGCCACCGGUUUGGAUCAAUGUGCCGUUGGGGAGAACCGAGCCCGAGGAACACCAGGUGUCAGUUUGAAUCAUUAAGGGUCGAAGAGUGUUUGUGGGUACAUCGUAUAGUACGGAGUGAGCGGAACAAUCAACUUUUAGGGCAAUGUCGUUGGGGUCCAUGCGGCAACGGCCAUUGGAAAGAGGGAGGUACGAGUGGCCAAAAUCGGUUCGGUCGAACAUGAUGAUCUUGUCGUUGUGGAGAAGUUGCAUGUGCAUUGCUGAUAUGCCAACGCUUGGUUGCACGAGAUUCCAUUGGCCUUGGUUCGCGAAGGUUGAUGAAAGAGUCUGAGCUUCAAAAUAGGGAAACAAUGAAGCUAGUAUAAAGGGUAUUAGGAUCAUGAUCGUGAUGGUGCUCAUAGUGGGUAAUUAAUUAGCAGAGAGAAGGAGAAGUAUUGGGAGAGUGUGGUCGAGUUUAUUGGUGAAGAGUUGGUGGGGUUGGGGAUUGAUUUAAAAACUAGGAAAUGGAAUUUAAUUUAUAUAUAUUUGCACAGAGUAAAAGCAUGCGUUGAUAUGAUAAGGACAUAUUGGAUAAAGUUUGCAAAGUUUGCAGAUUAAACUUACGUUCCUUGCCCCUCAAAAUCAUCAAUUGAAAAAUGUUUCAUGACACCAAUUAUGUUAUGGAACACCUAGGAAGAGAAAGAAAAAUAUAGGUAUUAUAAAAUAUAAGAUGUAAUAGAAAGAGAGAAAUAGAAAAAAAAAUUGAUAAAUAUAUAUUGGUGAGAUGUUUAAAAUAAAUGGAUGUUUAUAUAUCAUUACUUAUAAUCAAUUUGUGCUUUCUAUUCCAAAUUUGCAUAAAAUUGUUCUGAAAUGAUCUUGUCUACUCCAACAUAUUUUAGUUUAAUUUUUUUUUAGUGAAAUACAAAAUUUAUUACAUCAAUACUGAUAUCUUUAUAAUUCAGUCCAGCAUCUAAAGAAAAAAAAAAGUCAUGUAAUACUACGAUGACCAAAAGCACACAAUAUAUAGUGAUAUUUGAGGGACUAAAUAUGUAAUUAGUCGGUAGCAUAUCAUAUUUUUUUAUACUAUAAACUAAAUUACAAUGUGUUCUGUUGUGAAGAAAAAAAGGAGAGAACAUGAAAGUGAAUAUGUGAAAAGAAGGGGGAAAAAGUGAGAAAUAAGGUUAAAAUAGAGGUUAUAUCUAGUUGAAGAGAAAUGAAAUAGAAUAGAAAACAAAUAUUUGAAUUAAAAAAUUUUAGUACUUAAAAAAACAUAUAUAUUAAAUAAAAUAGACUUUUAUCCUUUGCUAUGGUUGGCGCUUUCAUUUUAAAUAUAUGUUGUUGUUAAUUAAAAAAAUGAUUAUGUUACUAAUGUAAUCAAUUAUUUUCUUCACAAAAAGGAGGGGACUUAGGGCAAAAAUGUAACGCGGUUGCCAAUAGUUUACAUUUUCUUCAUUUUUCUUCUCAAUCUUUAUUUCUAUAAAUUGAAAAUUCUGAAAAAUGGAAAGUUAAAAAAUCAUUAUAUAAUAAUACAAAAAUUACAAUAGAAAAAUAAUCUAAAAAUUAUAAUAGAAAAAAAGUUUGAAAUGAUUUUUCAAUCUUUUAUAUUAGUAUUCUUAUGCAUGGAAAUAAUUAAUGGAGUGAAUUUUUUUUAAUGUGGGAGUUACAUCAUUUUUUGAAAAUUUUCACGUCAUUUUUGUCUUAUCAAACAAAUGAAACUGUGGCUCUUCCACCGUCACGCUCCUCCUUUCCUUUACACGGAAUCAACUUAACUUGCUUACCAAACAAAACAUUAAUUAAAAAAAUCACACCAUUAGUGUAGUGUGUUAGGUAAGGGGUUGUAGGUUCAAACUUUAAUUUAGUUAUUGUGAUGUUAGACUCAACUCUAGGACUAAAUGCAUGCAAUAUUUAAUUAGAAAAGGGAACCAUAUACAUUUAUGGAUUAAAAAUUAUAGAACGAUAAAUAAAAAAUUCAAUUUUUUUGUAUAAUUUGUUUUUAUUUUUCAACAAUCAUGCCAUUUGUUCCUUUUAUAUAGAAAUUCUAAUAUUAUUAAUUAUUGUAAUUUGUAAACUACACUCACUUAAAAAGUCUAUGCAUCCCACAUAAGAGGACUGGUUUUAAAAAAACAAAAUUCAAUUUUUAUGGAAAAAUACUUAAAUGUGAAAUAGGUAAUUGUUUUUCUUGUAGGGUACGUAAUAAUUGGCUGUAGCAUGGAAUGGUAGACAUGAAAAGAUGUCUCGCCACUAUCUCAUUACGAAUACAAUCUGAAUGCAACGAAUAAUCGGCUCGUUCAGAAUCACACAUGAUUUGGAAUUACAUAAUUCCGACCACAUACUCAACGUCCCACACUAGAACCGAAUACAGUUAGCCACGCAAUCCAAAAGCACAUACUCCUCAUCCACGUUGGAUUUUACAUUUUUUGCCAAUUCCAAAGCAUACCCUAAUGGAUUCUCACGUAACCUUCGUGAUGUUUUUACUGCGGCUGAGAGCACAAAUUCAUUACCGUAAUAACCCUUAGGCAACGGAGGGUUCACCUUGGUAGUAAAGUUAACGGUGUAAAUGAAGCGAACACCAUCAUCAGGGUCAAGUUGCAAUGCUCUUAUGCGGCAUCUCCACGUGCAUGCGAUGAUGACCUCAAAAGUGGUGCAUCUACCAAGAUGUUUGGGAACCAAACUACGGAGAGAAGCUACCUCGCUAGGUCCGAAGAAGAAACAACGUUGCAGUCGUUUAAUGGGAUCAUUGUGUCUUUGGCUUUGUUUUCCACUUCGUAUUCGUGAUGGGUGCGUGAAAUUCGAGGUGGUUGCCUUCAAGAGCUCCCUACACUACAAUGGAGUGAGGGAAGGUUCCUUUGGGCCACGGGCGAUUUCGGCCAAAGGCUUUCAUGAAUCCGUCGCUCAUGCUGAAAAUGAAACAGCCACACUUGACCCGCGUUACCUAUCAUUAGCAUUCGUAGGUUAGUGUAGUUUGAAAAAUACUACCUUCUCGGGUGGUAGAUGAACAGUGCAAAAUAUAAAGAGCAAGCUACUCUCCAUUUUCGAUACAACUCCGGCCAAGUUACUAACUAUUUCCUCUAAUAAACAUAAUGUCGAGAUAAACUAUAUAAAUAAAGAAUAAUUCUCAUCUUACAAAUUAAUUUUAUAAUAUUGAAUUAAACUCAUAAAAAACUCACUUAUGAUAUUAAGUAUAAAAGAAUAAAAUAAAAAAUAUUUUUAUUUCUUUUAAACAUUUAUAAACAUGUUUAAUCAACUUAAAGAAAAUAAUAUAUAUAUAUAUAUAUAUAUAAUAUAAUCCAUAAUUUACAGAUACAUAUGAUUUUUAAUUAGUUAAUAAUACAUUCCCAUUAAUCUCACAAUUUUAUUUUAAUUUAUUAAAGCGAAUUUUAAUUAAAUUUACACACCCUUUUUUAUGGGAUUUGUUAACUACGCGUCUAUUUCUUUUUUAGAAUUAUACAUAUAUAACAAUUUCUACAACCAUUUAAACAAUAUUAUAUUUUGUAUUUAUCUCUCUCCUCUACUAUAUUAUUUAUUACAUUUCAAAUUUAAAUUUAUCUUCUUUUUUGUCUUUCUCUCUUUUGUUUAUAUAUUUUAUUGUACAUGUAAAAUUCCUUUUUUUUAGAUAAAAUAUGUUAGUAAAUUAUAAUCUUAAAAUAUGUUGGCAUAUAACUUGCUAAUAUGUUUCAACUAAAAAAAUAAUUAGUACAUAUACAUUUAAUUGUGAAAUUUUACUAACGUACAUCCACUUAUUUUUAGUUGAAAUACAUUAACAAAUUAUAAUUAAAUAUUAUGUUUUUCAAAGUACACUCACUGGAAUUUACUAACGUACUUUAACUAAAGAGGGUUGAUGUAUGUUAAUUAAAAAAAAAACUUUCUUAUACUGUAUUUAUAUAAAAAGGUUAUAGAACCUAUAAAUUUAUCUUUGUAUUUUUAAUAAAUGACUUAAAUAUAUUUUUCAUCCUUGUAAUAUAUCACUUUUUUAUAUUGUUACUUAUUAAUUUUUUUUUAUUAUCUGAUAUUUUUAAAUUUUUACAUUUCACACUUACUAUUAGUCUAAAUCCUUUAAAUGAUGAGGUGAUAUUUUGUUAGUUUGACAUUAGUUGAUGAUUUGACAAUUUAUUAAUUUAUGACAUCAUAACUUAAGAGAUGGAGUCUUACCCCAUAUACCAAAUGAAAAAAUCUAAAAAAUGUCAGAAGAUAUAAUAAAAUAAAAAACAUGAAAAAGUAAUUCGGCAAGAAUAUCUGUUUUCCCCUAGUAUAUAAUUAAAAGGAUAUACUAUUGUAUUAUUAUGCAUGCUUUAAAAUUACAUGUUUAUGUCUUAAAGAAUUAUCCAAAAUAUAAUUAGAAAAAAUAAAUAAUUUUAAUGUAAAAUAUUACUAUAUUAUUUUUUUACAGCAAUAUUGUAUCAUUAUUAAAAUCUCAAAUAUUAUAGAUGGAUGAUAUAAUUUAUAUAGACAUUUUAAAAUAUUAUUAAUUUAAUUUAAAUAUAAAUAAUUUCUCCACAAAAUGUAGAUAAUAUUUAUUUAAAAUACAAAAAAUAAUUAAAUUUAUAAUUAUUUUUAAAAAAUAUUUUUUAAUAGUGUUAUAUUUUAAUUAAUUUUAUUAUAUUAUCUACUUCCUAAGAGUGAUGCAUAAUGCCUUGGUUGCAUUCAUUAUUUUUAUGUGAAUUAAAUAUAUUUUUAGUCUAUCUAAGUUUACAUUUUUUUCAAAUUUGAUCUUUGUAAGUUUUUUUUUUAUUUUUAGUUCCUAUAAAAUUUCAUUUUUUCAAUAUUGAUUCAUGUAAGUUUUUUUUUUUAUUUCAACUCUUUUAAUAUUUUAUUUUUUCAUUUUUAAUCCCCGUAAAUUUACAAUUACAGGAAGCAAAAUUUUUAAAAAAUAAAAAUAAAUUUACUGUGACUGAAAAUGAACAAAAUAACAUUCAAGGACCAAAAUUGAAAAACAUAACUCAACUUUUUUUUUAUUUCCCCUACAUUAACUCCCCUUUAAGUUUGAAAACAUUAUACUAAUACCUUCUUAAACCUUACACUAACACCUCUAUAAGGGAGACGAAAAUAAUAGUUAAAAAGCAUAAGUUACUUGUGUAAUUACACCAAACUUCAAAAAAUGUUUAUGUAAUUUGUUCUUAAUAUAAAAAUAUAAAAGUCUAAAUUAAACUUUUUAAAAGAUAAUAUGUCUCAAAAUAAAAAUACCAAACUAAAUAUAAUCAAAAUAUAUACAAAAUUAUAAUGUAUAUUCUAGUCUAAACCAAACGUGUCAUCCAACUAACAUUUUGAAAAAACUAACAAAUAUGAUGAAAAAAAAAAUCAAAGACUUUUAUUUUUAUUUGUAUGAAUAAGAGAAAAGUAUAAAAAAUUUACAAUAAUUCACGCAUUUUACUCAAUUACAACAUUUCACUUCAUAUUUCUUACUUAUUUUAUUCUUUUCUACCGAAUGAAAAGUUUCAUAAUGAGCUACCGAUGAAACCAAACACGCCAUCAAUAAAUAUUGUUUAAAAAUAAUAUUAUUAAUUUAAUUAUUUAAACAAGUUAUGUUUCAUUAAUUUUAUUAACUUAUAUAUAAAUAAUUCCUCCAUAAAAUGUAAAUAAUUAUUUUUAAAAAAUAUAAAAAUAUGGGUUUAAAUUUAAAAUUAUUUUAAUAAAAAUAGAAAUCUCAUUAUGUUACUUCAAUUUUAAACAACUCAAUUUUUCUUUCAAGAAAACUUGGAUACAAUUUCACGGGUAAUGUUAGUGUUAUUUUAUAGUUAGAAUUGGAGUUCUACCUCAAUAAUUUGCAUAAUGAACAACUUCAUUAAAUGUCAACAAAAUUUGCAUAAUGAACAACUUCAUUAAAUGUCAAUGUAAAUUGUUGAGGUAAAAUUUUAAUUAUAAUUGGAGAACAAUACUAACAAUACCAAUAAAAUUGUAUCUAAAUUUUAUCCUUUUUCGUCCAAUGGAAAUUCCUAUUAGCAAAUGCUUAGCCCAGUCUAUCCAAAAAAAAUAAAAUUGUUUAACUGACAAACAUUCUCUCUCUUCAACCUUGCACAUUUUCUCUCUUAUAUUUAACACUACUAAACAACCCACAAGGAAUAAUUGCUUUUACAAAUAAAUAACUCUUUUCAAUUUAAAGUAAUCCAAAAUCACAUUUGACACAUUAAAAUUAUAUUUUUUUAAUAAUAAGCAAUUUUUUUUUUAGAUAAAAGUUUAGGUGUUGUUUCAAUGACUCAUUUGAGAUAAGACAUGUCUAAAGUAAUGUUUACAGAAGUACUUAUAAAUUUUUCAUCAAUCAAAUUCUCAAAUUGACAAUGACAAUUAAAUUCAAAUCUUUGUGAGAUAUGAGUUUGUUCCCUACCAACUCUAACCUCCAUUUACGUUGCCGUUUAUUUUUUGCAGUGAAGAUAGCAAAUUUCAGGAAAAGGGAUCAUUUAAAAAAACUACUAAAGGGAUCGGAGUAUACUUUGUAAUUAAAGAGGGUGUAAUUAAUAAUUACCCGGUCCGUAUCUUAGAACAUCUUGGUUGAUGGAGGGCGCAAUUCGUAACAUCAUCUAUUAAUUAACGAGCUUGACAUUUUUUUUUUUUACAAAUGCUCAUCGUUUAAGAAAUUAAAAGAAACAAAUAUUUUUAUUGAGAUGCAUAAAAUUAUACUGUUUAUAAUAUUUUUUUACGUUUUCCUAUAAUCUUCUCAAUAAAUAUUUAUUUUAGUUCUCUAAUCAAUGUCUUAAGAUACCGUUUAGCAAGACCUUAUUUUUUAGAUAAAUGCUAAUUAAUACCCUUAAGAUAUUGAUUUAAAAACUAAAAAAAAUUAUUAAGAUGCCUAAAAUUACACCUUAAAUAACUUUUUUUUAUGUUAUUCUAUGAUUUUUAUAAUAAAUAUUUUUUUUAGUUUCUUAACCAAUUUUCUAAGGAUAUUAGUUAACAAAAUUCUUUUUUGUUGCAAGAAACUAAAAAAAAAAAGUGUUUAUUCAAUGUGGGAUUGGUGAAUAGUGUGUUUGUGUUUUUCUUCUUUAAAUGUAUAAAAAUCAAAGACAAGUAUAAAGGAAAUUUACAAUAAUUUACACACAUUGUUAGAUUAGAUUUUCUUAGUGUUUUGUGCGGUUGAUGAAUGCCUUUUUACUCAGUUUAUUUUCAAAAUUAUUACGGUAAUUCGUUAACACAGUGUAAGGGUGGGAAUAUAAAAAACAUGUUCGAACCGUUUCCGAAUUGCAUCGAGAUGAACUGGUUUCUGAAUCAAACAUGUUCGGUUAAAUAAAAUUAAAUCGAUUUUUUUGCUAAAACUAAAAUUGUUUUUAAAACCAAUUCGAUUCACUUAGUAACUGAAUAAUUUUUUAGCAAAAACUGAAAUUAUUUUUUUAAAGGAAAAAAAAACAGUUUGUAAAUUAAUUCGAUUCUUAAAAUAGAUUCAAAACUGAUCUGAAACUAGUUCAGUUUUCGAACCAGAUUUGAAUUGAUUUUGAAUCAAUUUUUUUAAACUAAUUGAUUUUAAAAUAUUAAUUUUUUCCUUGUCAUAAUGUCAGUUAUUGAUUCCUAAUAUUAUCUUUUGCCAUUUAGGUUUAAAUAUCCAUUUUUUAAUUAUAUUUCCAAUUAUUUCUAUCUUUCCCUAAAAUGGACACAUUAACUUGUAAAAUGAAAAAUACAAUCGAUGAUUGAUCAGUGUCACGUAUGUUGCAUGGGUUACUACACUAAUUUCUUAAUUAUUUCCAACAAUAAGGAAGAGUUUCAUAACGAGCUACAAAUGAAACCAAAUCGGAAAUACUAAACCUUCUUCUCCUUUUGCAUUCUUAAAUGGAGUUAGAAACGUUACUCCUGGAAAGGGCCCAAGCCCUCCUUGAGCGUAGACAUGGCAAGAAAACCCGUAUCCGUGGGUACCCGUCUGAAUCCGUCCCGACUUUGACGGGUAAUACCCGAGUUGACCGGGUAUGGGUACGGGUUCGGAUUUUCCCCGAUAACCAAAAGUCGGGUAUGGGUACGGGUAUGAGAUUACUAGACCCGUCCCGACCCCGACCCCGAACCCGCCCCGCCACUUAAAAUCUUUAGAAUUUUUGCAUAAUUUAAUUAAAAGGCAUAUAAUUUUUAUUACUAGUUAAUUUUAUUUUAAAACUUUUACAUAAUUUAAUAUUAUUUUUUUAACUAUUUAUGUAGACACACGUGUUAUAAUAAAUUUAUUGAUAUAUAAGUAGUUAAAAAUAAAUGUUUAACAAUCAAUUUAUUUUUUUUUAAAAUCAAAUUUUUAAUAUUUUUUUACAAAAAAAAAAUAUUUUUCUAAAUGGUGUGUGGAACGGGGUUAGGGAUACCCGAUACCCGACGGGUACGGGGAUGGGACAAUAAAUUCAAACCCGUCGGGUGUCGGGUACGGGUAUGGGAAUAUGUCGAGGAGUCGGGGUAAGGGAUUGGGAGACAAUAUCCGUACUCGACCCGCCCCAUUGCCAUGUCUACUUGAGCGGGAUCAAAUUUUCUCAAAUCUGAUACAGUAAGAGACCUCACCAUUAUUGGUAUGUAUCGUCCCUUAAUAGCCAAUUGAUCUGCCAGAGAGUGCAUGUACUCACCUUUCACUUGGUUGAUUAACUCCUCCAAUGGAUUCCCACGAAGCUUCCCUGCAGUGGUAACUGCCGCAGGGUAACCGAGGAUUGAACUUAGCACGUGCGAACAUCCUCAUCUGCAUCUAUCUUCAAUAUAAUGCUUUUAUGUGGCAGCGCCAUAAGAAUGCUGUGAUGAGAUCAAACGUGGCGCAACGGUGAAGGUGAUGCUAUUUGCAUGUGACGCGUGGUGGAUCUCUUUCCAUUUCAGCCCUAACGUUCAAGAAUCGCACAAGACCAGCUGCAUGAGGGCCAGGAUAAAACCACCACACUUGAGUCGAGUAACCUGUUAUACAAUUAUAUAGCCAACAUCAAGUAAUUAUGAUAGAAAAAGAUAAGAGUGUAAAUAGCAAACAAGUGACGUUGAAACUUAAGGCAAAAAUAUAUUAGUGAAUUGUGAAUAAUAAUGUGUAUUGGACCUGUAUGAGUAGAAGGGGAGUGUUAGUAAUUUCUUCAGUCUCUGGAACAUUAUAUAGAAGUUCUUGGAAGCAUGGGAAUGGAGGUUGGAGAGCUUCACCACCAAACUGAUAAAGUGUUACGUCUGCAUCAGCCUCAAUGAACAUGACGCCCUCCCCAGUACAAUCCACCAUUAAUUUGCGGUCAGGCCCCUCCCUAAGCCUACCCGCAGUGCUUUCCGAAUGACUUGAACUGGGUCUUUCUCUGCCAGUGAAGGUUGGUUACGAUAAACUUGUAUCGUUGGAAUGUGGAAACGAAGACCUUCUUGAUCAUCUAUGUCGGAUAAUGGUUUAAGUUGGUGGGGAGUGGGUGUAGCAGGAGCCACCAACUCAGGUUGGCACCUCCGUACUGUAAACAUUAGAGAGGGCCAUGCUUAAUUAUCAGAGAAUUAUGGGCAUCCUUUAACAUUGUUGGGAAUGUGAGAUGAACAAAUAGGAAACUGGUAUAGUGUAAAGCACAAAAGGAAAGGAAACCCUAUGUUUUGCUUUCUGGAAAGGGUGGGUGUACACGAACCAGGAACAAUGGAGAAGGGAGAAAGACGGUCACGUGACCUGCUGGGCUCAACUGUUCUAAACCGUUAGAUUUAAAAAGAUUAAACGGUUAAGAUGAGGAGUUUUUCUUGCAUGAGUACAAACUCACAUCAUCAUUAAACAAAAUAAAAGCAUACUACUAUAAAACGGUAUCAUUAUCAGUUAACGUUUUGGGUAUAAAUUCGAAACACAAACCACAAAGCAAAUGAUGCCAUAUCUACAAUUAAUACAGUCACAGUUUCAACUUUCAACUAAUGCUAAUGCCUAUUUAUUGCCAAAUUUUCAGAAUUGCAUAUCGAAUACACUCAAAUAUGCAUACACGUGACUGGAUAUCAAAUGACUAAUUUCAAUAAAUGAGAAUAAUAUUAUUAGCAAUUAACAACUAACAAAAUUUUAUGAUGUAAAUGUGCACCUGGACAGCAUAAUUUCUAUGCCCAGAUAUUUAACGCACAAUUUAAAUUUACAAUGUUUUCGUUGUCAUCUCUAAAUCAACUACCUGAUUCCUGAAAAACAUCCCACUGUGCCAGUAUGAUUCCCACUAAUUCUCAACAGAGUCAAUUAAAAACCUUCAUCAUCAUGCCAGAUGCAGACGAUUCCACCAUGUCCAGCAGAAGUAUGCACGCCAGCUAGAUAUAGUUCAAAAUUUACAGUAACAGCUCUCCACUAAAGAAAAAACUAUCCAAGCAGGUUUGGAGAAUGUCACUAAAUUUGGUGAUAAAUGACGGCUCGGAAUUUAAAAUUUUCUAUAAUACCACCGAUCAAUGCAGGCAACCCAAGAAGAAUUGUUGUUCAGAAGUAUUUUUACAUAAUCACAAGAAAACCUGCAAAUAUUGAUCAUAAUUCAUUAUAAACUCUGCAAUCCUUGGUGAGCCAGUAUAAAUAAAAUAUAUAUAUUUUUUCACACUCAAGAAAAACGAAGCAUGACAAAAAAGGGAGUAAAUUCAGAAUGGAAUGGAAACAAAAACAAAAUCUUAUCCACUAGGUAAUGUUUGUAAACUCAGUACGGAAACCGAUAAUAUAUAUAUAUAUAUAUAUAUAUAUAUAUAUAUAUUUCCUUCUAAUUAUUUUUCUUCCAGAGAUAAAACUUGAAGUAAAGGGUAAGAAAGCAAAAGAAAUUGUUAUGCAAUGCAUCAAAAUCAUUCAAAAGUUACUUGUGAUACCAAUAAUGACUAUUCAGACAUGGUUAAAGCUCACUUUCCUCCAAUCUGAAAGAGAAUAAAUUAUUAAUAACCUACGAUCACUUUUAUCAACAUUCACAUCAGUUUAAACAAGAAAUAUUAUUCUAAUUCCUAAAAUAACUAUUUCCCCUUUCCAGUUGGCAGUAAAUUACAGUUACAAAAUAAGAAAAAUACAUGAACAAAAAUCCAUAAAAGCUUUAAAUAUCAAAUUCUUGCUCAGAAAAGCAAAGCAAGGCUCAAUUACCCACCUCUGAUGCAUAUGCAAUUUGUAGUCACCUGCCUUGAACUAGUCUGUAAUUUAGAACCAAGUCAUCUGAUUUCUUCCAUACAUAAGCUCGAACUGUGGCUAAGCUCAUUUCAGGAGACAGCACCUGGAAAUAAACCAAACAGCUGGCUAAAAGCACAUUACUUCAAUGAAAAACAGUAUCAUACAAAGUAAAAUCAACUGUGAAUCAAAUAAAACAACAUUCAAUAAAAAUAUCUUUAAAAAAAUUGAUGUCAUUCUCAAACCAAUCAAAGGCAUAAUAAAUUCAAAAACUUGAUUAAAACAUAUGGCAUUGAGAACAAACUUGGUAACACACAAGAACAGUUGAAACUACAGAUCAUACAAGUACUACGAUCUAUUUUAAGACUUAAAAUACAACAGUCAUGGUUCAAUUAGCAGUGUCUAAUAUCUGAAAUUGAAUUUUAUAAUUAAUAGCCUACCAGUAGGUAAAGAAUUUAAGUAUGAAGACAGUCUUUUCAAAUCUCAAUAUCAGUUCAUCUUAUGACAUCCAGUGAAGUUAACAUCUAACUCGACAGAUAAUGCCACUGCUAAAAGAAAUCCUAGGUAUAAGGAACAUUGCACUGAUUUUUGGGAUAAUCAAACCAAGAAUACUUAAACCAAUAUUUUGUCAAUUCAUCCUGCAUCAUGGACUCUAGAAGUCAAAGUUGUAACUUUGUAAAUGCAAUUAAAACCAACAAGCACAGUACAUAAUUCUAACAAGAUAUUUUUUUUUCAAUAACUUCAAGAAAACAUCAUAAUGGAAAACUAAAAAUUGCAAUCAGCUUAGCAAAUAGAUUAUAGAAGGCAUACAAAGGAAUAGAAAGGUAAGCUAACUACAAAAAAAUAAAGCAUGAACUUGCUCAGUCUCAGCAUCUAGAAAACCAUACAGUAUACACUGUCAUAAGAUUGCAUACAAGACAACAUAUUGCUUGCCUGGUUGUAGCACAAUAUUUCAAUAGAAGGUCUAAGCUUUUGCCAUGGCUGAAAUCCAGAUCGAAAAGAUCCAUCCCCAACUGCUUGAUGCUGUGACUGUGACCCAGUAAGACCAGGGGCAAUACUACCUUCAGCACUUAAGCUGUCCAAAGGUUUGUCAAGCACCAUCUUCUCUAUUACAUAAUUAACAACCUAAACCAACCAAAAUAAAGGAAAGUUAAGUUGAUAAUUCAAAAUGCAUCAUCUACUGUUUUCAGAAUCCACACACAUGCAUGCACAAAAGCUAAACUAAACUAAACUCAAAACAAGUAAUACUGUUGGAAAGCAUGACCAAAGCCAGCUUAACAACACAUGUGAAGAUUAUUAAUGCAAUUAUCAAUUAAUAUAAAUAUAAAAACUUACUUUGUGAAUUCUUAAUAUACGUGGGGCACUUAGCUUCCCUUGUGUGAGGAUCUGGACUGAAGAUCCUUCACAUGGUUGCAAAUAAAAACUGCAUCUGCAGUUGUUAUCACAAAAGAAUAUAUAUCAAAGAGAGCAUUAUGUAACUAGUCUGAGAUUGCCAUCAUACUCAGAAGUACAAAAUUCAUAGACAUAACCAUUGACAAUCAAAAGUAAGAAAAAGAAUUCAAUAUUUUCAUGGCAAUAACCAUUAGAAGUACAAAAAAUGUUCAAAGAUACUGUUCGGUAGAUAGCUAAUACCAAGCAACAAAUACCACAGAAUUAAUACGAAGAUAGAUUACUAUGACUUCCUAAGAAUCUCAACCAUAUUAUCAAUUGAUGUCAUUUACAAAAGCCAUGUCAAGUACAACCAUAUGAGUGAUUAAUAGAUAUAAUAAUCAGAGUUAAGCAAUUAUGCUACAUUAACAAAAUAUACAAAUAGUCACAAGCAUGGUUUAUUCCUUUCAACUACAACCAUGUGUUUUAAUGCAACUAUUUAGGGAGGGAAAAAAUGAGGAAAGCAAAAUUACUUUGUAUUUUCUCUGGGAGGUAACCGAUUAUUCAAGACGCAGUCCAGACACCACCAAGGAAAGUCUUUCUCAUCCUUGGUUCCAUCUAAAUCAGUGAUUUUUUUUCUCCAUGGACCUCCAUGAGUGCCCUCAGUAAUAAUGGAAGGAGGGGAAGUAACUGAGAAUUCAAAUGGAGGAUAAACCAUAGCAUCAUUCUCAGAACUACCAUCAACCUCAAUUCUUGAAUGGGUACUACUUCUAGAAGCAGUCUCCUUUCCAGAUAAUAGUUCUCCAUUAGCUGGAGCUGGGGAUCCCAUUCUUUGCUUUCGUUUUCUCAACCAAUGAGCCAGUAGCCCUUUAAGGGUUUCUCGAGCCAAAUUAACCUGCAGAAUAACAGGCACUGAUUUAGAUUGUUGACAGCAAACUACUGAAAACAUUCUCAUUAUUUCAUUGUAUUCAUGGAUCACAUAUUUCUUGAAAGUUGAAACUAUAGAAGUGCAUAAUAGAACACAGCCAACAUUCAACAGUCAUAAAAAAAAACUUAAAAUACUUCCAUGUCCACUAUUCUAAUUUUCUACCCUUAAAUUUGGGAUGCACUUGAUGGAACAAAGCUUUUGAUUAUAAAACAACUAUUUUAUCCUUAUAAAUUUUAAUCUAAUCAUUAGCCUCACAAGGAUAAUAUAUUUAAAAUAAAGAUAGUGUGGGAAUUAAAAAGUUAUAACUUUGUUCCAACUAAUGGAGUGAAAUCUUUGUUCCGUUCCAUUAUGAAAUUUCCAAAGAAUGGAAUAACAUUUUUAUUCUACUCCAUUCCAAUCCAUCUGACUCUAUUCCAUUUUCUACCAUGAAUUUAAAGAUAGCCUUCAGAUUGAGCAAGAAGACGGACUAAAAGAUGGGAUGAUGGUUAUGUACCACUAACUGAAAUGGAUCUCAUGAAGAUGAAUUGGUUGACAAUUGUAUAUACUUGACAUCAAUAAGCCAAUAGUAACAACUAACAAGUAAAUAGUUGCAUAAAAGUUGAAAUUAAUUGUUACAGCAUACCAAAAACUAAGAGGAAAAUUAAUAUAAUUAGGAAUUUAAGACAUAAGGCCAGGUACAUUGUUCAUGACAAUGAAGCCAUUACCUUAUCAUCUUCAGGCUUGCCUACAAUGUUAAGAUCAGCUGAAUACAUCUCUGCUGAAAAACAUUGGGGAGUGUCCAAAUGGACUGACAAGCUUCCAAGCCUGGUAUCCACUGUGAACCAUGCAGGAAUGCUAACCUAAAGCAGCAUUGGAAGAAAAUUAAAAGCCAACUUGAACAAAUAAACUACUGGAAAUCGUCAUGUUUUCUUGCCUAGAAAAAAAAAUAUUUUAAAAUGAAAUCAAUGGUUUAAAUCAGUAAUCAUACCAUCUCAAAUAGCUCUUCCUUUUUCUCCUCAAAUGAAACCUAGACAGUCCACAAGUAAAGCACGAGCUAUUAUGAACCCACAAAUGAGUCCCCUAUCAUCUAUAGUUUAAAUUUGUAAAUAACAUCCAUUACAGACAGACAUGCUACUUCACUAGCAAACAAGAUUGUCAUACAAAUUACAAAAUGAAAAUGCAACCAGUUGUCACCUUUCCGUAAUCUUCAACGACAAUGCCUUUGGUAAUCUCCCACAGCUUCACUGAACCAGAUGCAUCCUUUACCAAAAGUUAUUCAUCAGUUACAAAAAUAACAGAAAAAGGUUAUGCAAAUAUGCAUGGCAUAAUAAAAUCACUACAAAACACCAUGGUUACCUUUGUCAGCACAUGCCUCUUAUUACUCAAAACUUCAUGUUGUACUAUUGCAGGUGUACCCAAGAUAGUUAAGGUAGGUUCUUUAUAUACAGGAACCUAUAAACAUUAGUAAUUUUGACAACAAAAGGAGGAUUAUUAGUUUUGCAGAAGGGAAAGAACCAAAUAUCUAUAUAUAUAUAUAUAUAUAUAUAUAUUUUAUUUUAUUUUUUUUUUUCAACAAAAACUUGUUUAGAAAACAAACUACAUCAUAUUCACCAAAAGGAAACACUAAUAAAAGUCAAAAGAUAUGUAAACUAACAUGCUUCAUCUAUACAUGAGCAUAUGCAACUGGUAUUAUAAAUACCAAGAGCAACAUAAAAAUUUGAAGAUAUAAUAAUAGAAAAGUAAUGUAGGAUUUUUUUUUCAGAAUUAAAUAUAACAUACAGGGGUAGAUCCUUCUGGUGAAACUCUUGCUCUUGAAAAAGACAAGUUUCCAGCUAAAAAAGAAUUGCCUCUCUGGAAAAUCUUUUGAGGGUCGCAUCCUUCAGCUGGCCAUCUAUGAACUGAAGAGUCUGUUGAUGCAACCCAUAUGCUAUCAUCAUGCAAAGCCAAUUGAAGAAUAGGGUGCUCGCCUGUGCAAAGCAAACUACUCUCUCUAGUUUGCAAAUCUGUCAAGUAUAACUUAAGGCAUAAAAGAAUAUGACAUUAGAAGACGAGGUUCACAAGUUAAACAGGAAAAGGAGAUGUGAUUUCACAUAAACUCAAGAUGUAAUAAUAAUAAUAAAAAAUAGUUUGAUGUUAAUUUCAGUAGAAGGUUUCACUCACUGAAAAGUCUCUCCCUCCACUAUAAACAUGACUAAAUGUUGGGGUGCUGGCAAGUGCCCAAACAGAAUCUGUAUGAACUGCAUAAGAAUGCACACAUCUCUGCUGACCUAUAUCCCAAAGCCUAGAGGAAACACCGACAGAUUAUUAGUCAACCACAAAAACAAAACAAAUAGAAAUGCUUAUAACUCCAUAUGUGUGCAUUACCUUAUCAUAGAGUCUGAAGAUCCUGAUAAACAAUAUCUGCAACAAUGAACAUUAAAAACAUCAUAACUGACUUGCUGGAAAAAAAACAUAUUAAUUUGAACUUAACAAAUUUAUCCAAUGAAAAGAUGCAUGGCUGCAUACAAUGAAAAGAAAACCCAACAGCAUUUCAUUCACUGUAUAAUUGACUAUUAAAUAAGUCCACCGUAACAUAGAUAAUGAAAAUGUUAGGUUAUUCAUGUGCAUAGUUAACUUGUUAUUUAUAUGUUGGGGGAAAACAUAGAAAUGUCAAAUGGGAAAGAUCAAUGCAAACACACACACACACACACACAGAGGGAGAGAGAGAUUUUUAUGAUAAUAAAGAAAUUAUAAAUAAAUAGGAGGAAAAGCAAGUUACCAACUUUAAAAUUUAAUUGUAAAUUGAAAAACUGCAACUAAACUUAGAUAUCCACUCCACAAACCUGCCACUAGAAUCCAGAAGCAGAGCCCUGAUGUUAUCUGUAUGCCCUCUUAGCUUUAGAGUCUUUGAUCCUGAUCUUGCGUCCCAGACACGCACAACCUAGUGAACCCCCAAAAAAUUGAAGAAAUAAACCAUGGCCAGAGACAACAUCCCAUAAAAUUCAAGCUACUACAUCGCAAGCAAAAAACAUCUAUACUGUUUCAAAUGUAAAGAAGCCUCGACAAUUCAGAGCAUAUGCCAUAUUGGGCGAGUUUUUUUAAACUUUAAAAAAACAACUUUAAAAUAAGCGCUUUACAUAUAAGAACUUUUUUAAGAAGCAUCUAGGAUUUGCUUCUUUAAAAAAAGCAAAAAAAUGCUAAUUUUAAGUAAAAUCAAUUUAGACAAACACACUAGAAAAUCAUAAAAGUGCUUAUUUUAUUUUGAAAAGCAAUUAUUUUAAAAAAUAAGCUUAAACAAACUAGCCCAUUGUACCUUUUCUGUGCCACCAGAGACAAGAAUUGUUCCACUUUCAUUCAUAGUCAAUGCAUAAACAGAAUCUUUAUGGCCUUUGGCAGAAAUUGGAACGUAUCCCUGAGUUUGAGUGGUGUGCAUGGACAUAUUGUCGCUUGAGUUAAUAGUACGCAAGGAUGUCAAUGGUAGUAAGUUGCCAGAACCAUUGAUACCAUUUGAAGAUUCAUCAACCAUAGCAUCAUUACACUUAGAGGGAGCAAGGGCAGCCUCGAUAUCCCAUAUAAAAACCUCCCCACCAAGGCCACCAGAGGCAACAGUAUUGUUCUAAAAAGCAAGACACUAUUAAAGGAUCAAAGAAUGGAUUUGAAAUUGAUAAUUCAACCAAAGUAGCUAUCUGUUUCAAUGUGGAGCAUAUAGAAACAAUAAAAUGAACUUUUUCUCGAUACACUUAAUAAGAAGCAUAAGAUGUUUGGAGUACAUUACAUUUUUUUCAGCUGCUGCAAGGCAAGUAACAUAGUCAGAGUGUUGCCGGAGAGUCCUAGUACAAGUUCCAAAGGACAGGGCAUUCCAUGUCUGACACAUAAAAAGAAGGUGUAAAUAAUUAUGUAAGUACUGGUAUUAUUUCAGAAGAACAAGUAUUGAUUGGAAUAAAAAACAGCUAGCAAUCAACAAACCUUAAGGGUUGUAUCUGAGGAACAAGAAACAAGUGUACUAUCACCAACAAGAACAGCAUCAUUAACCUGAAAGAAUGAAAUAACAUUUACAUAUUCAAUUGUACUUAUGCUGUUGUGCAUGUGUUAUGGAUUGUUAAGGUGUCAUGUUUUGUGAGUUAUAACUUUAUUGCUAAUGAAACAGGGUUUAGGACUUUUGGGGAAAGCAUAAAAGAUGAAGAAUGACUAUAAGUUCAGGAAGUUUCAUCAAGUAACCAUGGUUUAAAAAACAUAGCUAGGUACCAGAAGUUACUAACUUAGAAGUAAACUAACAAUUGGAAGGGAAGAAAAUAAAAAGAAAAAACGAACAUAAAGAUUACCCAAUCGACAUGAGAUUCAAAGGUAGCCAAGCAUGUUGCUCUAUCCACCCCUAGUGCCCAUCGUUUUAACCUGCCAUCACGGCUUCCGGUGAACAGAUAAUCAGACCCAUCAGAUGCUGCAGACAUAAGUAGAGCCAGACAAUUUAUGCCUGCACAAUGCUGCAGAAAAGAACCAACUUACAAGCGAUUCUAGACUGUGCAACUAAGAAAACCAUCAAAAUUGAAAUCAACCAAAUAAGAAAUAGUGAUGAAAAUAAAAUCUAUGACAUAACACCAUGCAAAGCAAAAUUCUAAGUAUGAACAAUUAGUGAAGCUUUGAUUGAUAAGAAAGUAAAAUAUUGGGUAAAUAUUAAAAAGAAAAGGCUGAAAUAUGCAAACCACCAGAUAGGUAUAAGUCAAUGUAAAAAGAUAAAAUAAUAUUAAAAUUUAGGGUAAACCUCCAUUUUGAUCUUUGGAACACCAAUUUGGUCCUCAAAAGGUUAUCACAUCCCUUUGAUCCUCAAACAACAGGUUUUAACAUCAAAAUCGUGCAAACACAUUUUACUAGGACCCAGCUGAUGUCAGUCAAGAACCAAAUAUUCUCAUUAGAGCACAAUUUGAAGUCACUAAUCUUUUGACGAGAAAAUUCAGUUAAUUUUUUUUCAAGGACCAAAUUGGGAAUUCACUGUAUAAUUUAAAUAAUAUUUUCAUCUACGUAAGAAAAGUUUUGUAGGGAUCAAAUUGGGAACUCAAAAUUUGGAACCACAAUGUCAAAGAAAUUUUUUGUAGGGAUAAAGAUGCAACUACUAGAAGCAAACAUGAAACUUGUCUGCUUCCCUGGAACAAAUAAAAUAAUGAGUUCACCUUUGAGUCAUCAGAAUCAUUCAACACAUAGGUUAAUCUCUUCUCCUUACGAGGGCGAGUUGAAUUGUUUCCGUUACUUGCACUACCCACGCGGUGCAUUGCAGAAACUGUUUUAGUUCAUAAAUCAAAUAACUUAAACAAGAACCCCAGGAGUAAAUUGAGAAAAUAAUUCCAUAUCAACAAUUCUACUUAGCAGCAUUAGCAACAACAUUUGGAAAGAAAAACAAAAACUAACAUAUCCCAGUGCCAUAAGGCUCCUCGCUAUGCGAAUGUAUGGGAGAGGAUUAUCGUACACAGCCUUACUCUUGCAUGUGCAAAAAAAAAGUUUUCGGAUUCGAAACCAUGACCAACCAACCAGUCACCAAGGUGCAACUUUACCAUUGCGCCAACAGCAUUAAAAUAAAUAUCUGAUGAAGUAGUUUAUGCAUUAUGACCGUUUAUUUAACAAAAGAAUAUUUGUAUAUACAGUUAAAGACAGACACAUCCAAACACUUCCUCAGAAAUCGCAUACAGAAAAGCAUUAGGCGUUAGGCAUAACUGGUUAACCCAAACGUAUAACCCAGGAGCUCCUAGAAACUAGCAUUAAGAAUUCUUGUAGCAUUAUGAGAUGGACCUUAGUCUUCUCAAUAACCCAAAUGCUGAUACUAAAAUCUAGACCUCCAGACGUGGUUUUUCACAUUUACUAAGAAGCUAGUAAUUAUGGCUUCAAGAAGCUAAUAGUAAUUAUGGCUUCAAGAAGCUAGUAAUUUUGAUUUAGUACUUCUCAACGGGUUUCCAAAACAUGCUAUAUCAUCUUUUACAACAAUUCCAUGUUAACCUCAGAAUCCAGACGAAGUUCAAACUCAUUCUUUCCAUACAGUCUGAAUCACCAGUCAAACCAUAAUCGCAUAUCAAAUGCACCAAAGACUCAAUGUGAAUCAAAUAAAAAACCAAAUCUACAAAAUCAAUAAUCAAACGCACACCUAAACUCAUAGGCUCAUAGCAGACUGAAGAUAUCGAAUGUCCCAAAUCAUCGACACAAAUUACGCAAACGAAGGAAAAGAGAAAAUAAAAAAGUCAGAAAACAAAAGCAUAACCCUUCACACAAAUUAACUAGGCCGAUCAUAAGGUUAAGGGCUUUGAACUAUGAGCUAAAACAGACUAAUUAUAAGAUGCGAUAAAUUGUUUCGUAGAAUCGGAAGCAGAAAAUAAUCGGAAAAAAGGAAAUCGAGUUGGAGAAGGAGAAGAUGGAACAGUGGAAGGAACAAACCGUGAUCAGUGACGAAUUCGAAGCACUCUGAGUGCUUGUCUUGUUGCUGUGCGAAGUUUCAGCUUUAGAGAGAGAAAGUGUUUGGGAGAGAGAGAGAGAGAGAAUGGUGAGGACAGCGAACGUGAGUGUGUAAAUAUGGGCGUCCAGAUUUAUUCCGGUAAAUCCUUUGACCCGUUGUGUGCCUCUUAUUGAGGGCAAGAUGGUCCUUACACUUGAAGGAAGGAUACACCAAAGGCUAAUUCACCAUUUUGGUCUUUUGUUUUUUUUUCUUUAGUUAUUUAUCUUUUAAAAAUUAUUUUGAUCUUAUGUUUUAUUUAAAAUGGUCUUUUAUCUUUUAAAAUUUUUACUUUAAUACCUCAUCUUACUUAUUAAAAUGUUCAAAAUAAUCUUUUAACUAUUUAAAUAUAUUCAAAAUGAUUAUUUAUGUGAGUGUUAUUUGAAGGGAAAAAAUAAUCACAAAGUAAAUCUUAUAAAGGAAAAUCUCAUUUAUGUGAGUGUUAUUUGAAGGGAAAAAAAUAAUCACAAAGUAAAUCUUAUAAAGGAAAAUAAAUAAAUAAAGAAAAUAGGAAAAAAAAUACAUUAGAAAAGGAUUUUAAAUGUUGAAUGGUUAUUGCAUGUUUUAUGUUACACCCUCCAAUUUGCACUAUGUAUGAUAGUGUAAAUACAUUACAACUUGUUAGGUAGAAGUAGUUCCCACAAAGUUCUGCAAAAUGUUUAAUUGACAAGCUAAACAAAGAUGAGAAAAAGAUACUCGAAAUCAAGUUAGAUGGGAGAAAGGCUUAGGAUGAUUUUCUAAGUUAUUUCUUCUGGAUCUAUAUAAGCAAAAAAUAAUCUCAUAUAUUAUACUUAAAUAUAAAUAAAUAUAAUUAAUUUUAUGUUAUUUAAUGUUAUUAUUCCUAAAAAAAUCAUAUAUUUAAUUUUAAUUCUAUUUCUAAUGGCUUUUUUUUUAUCCAUGAUAUUAAAUUUUAAUAAAUGAUAUUUAAAAAAUAUUUUUAUUUUUUACUUAAGAUUAAUAAAAUUAAAUGACGUCAACUAAUUUUCUUAAUCAAUAUAAAAUUAGUUAUUUUUACUUAAGUUUAGACAAAGAAUUAUUCAAGUAUAACAUUUUAAAAUAUUGUAGCCCCGAAUAAGACCAACAUGGCUUUGGAGCAAGGUAGAGUAGUUCACACCUCAAGUUGUAAAGUUGUAAGACACGUAUAGAUGUAGCAUUGGAGAUGCUAACUAACCAUGCCUUAUUUGUUCUCUACUUCAUUAUCGUAGUUGAAUUUGUUACAUAGACAAACAAUCAUCCAUUUUCUUUGUAGGUACAACGACUUGGUUUUUUUAGAGUUGGCAAGUGCAUGGCUUGAAAGACAUUUAUAAUCUAUGAUGGGGGUUGCAGCUCUAUUCCACUUAAGUUCUAGUCUUCAAAUGGUGUAGUGAACUCAUUAAUAUUUUCCCUCCUUGUCAUGUUAAGUUAGUGGAAUCAAAGUGAACUUUAUAAGUUCUUCAUAGUUAGGGUUCCAUCUAUCACUCCAUAUAUAGUGUGACCCUCCAUUCCUUAUGUGUUGUCAAAUUUUUAGUUACCUUAUCCCAAGAGUUGCACACCCAUUUCCAAAAAAAUUAGGAGUUGUUAAAAUUCUUAAUUUGAGGUAAAAUAUUACUUUCACACCUAUCUUUAGCUUAGAUGAAUUACAUCUCAGGUUAUUUUUAUUACAUCAAAAUUUUCGUCUAAUUUUCAUGCGAAGAGCGCAAUUCACUUUGUGCUCUACGAAUCUUCCAUCUAACAUGUGAUUUAGGUUGACCAAUGAUAUUCAAUGUGGCCAUAUGAAAAAAUCGACUAUAAUAAUCAUGCCUUGAUAUAAAAAAUAAAUAAAAAAUCACUACAUCUUUUAUCUAGGGCAUCGCAUGUACUAAAAGGAAUUAAGGAAAUCUACAUAGCAUAACUAGGUAUUAAGGAAAUCAAGAAGGUCUGCGUUACCACUCUCCAAUAAGACAAAUUUAUCGCAACAAACCAUCACCGAAAGAGAAUAAAGACCCAUCUCAAGUUAUUCGGCAAGCACUGGCAAAAACGCUUGUUUUCUAUUACCCAUUUGCAGGUAGGCAGCAAAUUGAUGGUGGUUUGUACUGGGGAGGGCGCGUCAUGUUCGUUGAGGCUGACGCAGACGUAACACUUGCUCAGUUUGGUGACGCUCUCCAACCUCCAUUCCCAUGCUUCCAAGAAAUUACUAACACUCCCCCUUCUACUCGUACAGGUCCAAUACAUAUGUUUUUAUAAUUUAUUAAUUUAUCCACUUGUAUGUUGAAGGCAAAAGUCAUUAGAGACUUUAUAAUUUUUCAUUAGGAAAGACAAAAAAAAUAUAACAUUUUACAUGGGAAGGUAACCUUCAAGUUUAACAUGAAAAAAAAUCAUUUUCAUUUUUCACACAUGAAACUUAAUUGAUUUUUUGGAGAGUUAUAUUUUAUUUUAUAAUUUUUCUAAGUUGCAUCUUUAAAAAAAAAUCUCUUUCUAUUUCCUAUCAUAUUUUAUCGAUGCUUCUUCUAGUAUUUUUCUUCCUGUUAGUUAUUUCUGUUUCUUCAUGUUGGGGAUAUUGAAUCAUAGGUCACACGACUCAGGUGUAGUGGUGGUUUCAUCCUGGCCACUCGCGUGAACCACACCAUGAUGAGCGAUGGAGCUGGUUUGUCACAAUUCAUGAACACUUGGGCUGAAAUGGCUCGAGGUGUUAAAAGUCCUUCCAUUGCACCUGUGUGGCGUAGGGAGCUCCUCAUGGCAAGAGAUCCACCUCGCAUUACAUGCAACCAUCGUGAAUUCGAGCAUGUCCCAGACACCAAGGAAAGAAUAAUCAUCCCUGAGAACGUUCUUCGAUCUUUCUUCUUUGGACCCGCCGACGUGCGUAGCGGCCCUUGGUGGCUUGGUUCCCCAUAACCUUCAGCAUUGCACCACAUUUGAUUUGAUAACAGAAUGCUUAUGGCGUUGUCGCACAACAGCAUUGCAGAUAGAGCCAGAAGAGGAUGUUCGCUUGAUGUGCAUAGUCAAUGCACGUGCCAGGUUCUAUCCUCCGUUACCCGUUGGUUAUUACGGCAAUGCUUUUCCAUACCCUGCAGCAGUCACCGCUGCAGGGAAGCUUUGUGGAAAUCCAUUUGGGUAUGCGGUGGAAUCAACCAAGUGAAAAGUGAGGUGACGGAGGAGUAUAUGCAUUCUGUGGCAGAUCUAAUGGUGAUUAAGGAACGAUGCUUAUUCACAACUGUAAGGUCUUAUAUGUUGUGUCAGACUUGAGAUAUAUAUUUUCAUUUUGGAAAAGUCGAUUUUGGGUGGGGUGAUGUUGUGUAUGGUGGAUUGGCCGAAGUUGAAGCUGGGGACUUUCCAGGAGUAACAUAUUUCAUUCCGUAUAAGAAUGCAAAAGGAGAAGAAGGUUUAGUUAUGAAAUAUAAAAUGCUAUGUUUCUUGAUUAUUAAAUAUUUACUCAGUAUGUUAACUUAAUUAUUGGAAGCUUAUUACUGAAGAAAACAUUCUAUUUUAUACCUAUCAAUCCAAAAUAGGUUGAGAUCCAUAAACAAUGGUAAAAUGUUCAAAUAUAUAACUGAACAGUAAUAUAGACUAAAACAAAAUUAUACGUUGCUCAAAAAAUAAGAUUGACUUGCUACCUGUGAAGAUCUUUAAACAUUCUCAUAUAUAUCCUAACACAACAUACAACUGUGUGAAAACAAACUUGGGAGGAUAAAUUCUGACACGGGAAAAAGAUUGGCCUUGCCUUUUCUUCAUUGUCAAACUUCCUACCACUUUGAAUCAAUUUUAAAUUUUAUAUCAUCUAUAUCAUUCCAACAUUCUUCUCUUAUUUUUUACUCUAAAGUACAUAUCAACUACCUAUCAACUACCAUGGUGGCGGGUCUUCAUGCAUUAUUUUCCUUCAAUGUAUUAAGUUUCCAUAAGCUACAAAUUACAGGGAAGACAUGAUAAAGUUAGCACCACUCGUUUGAGGUUGGUUUUGGUUCCUAAGCAUGUCAUUCAACUCUUUUGCAAACCUCUCCAUUGCUUCAUCAGGCAACCCAAUCGCAAAUAUUAUACCUUCUUCUCCUUUUGCAUUCUUACCCGGGGUGAAAUAGGAAACUCCUGGAAAAGCCCCUGCCCCACAUUUUGCCGGUCCACCAAACACAGCAUCACCCCACCCAAAAUCUACAUUCCUAAACUUGGCACGUGACAAAUCCGACACAAUAUAAGACCGUACAGUGUUAAAUAAGCAUCGUCCCUUGAUCACCAAUAGAUCUGCCACAGAAUGCAUAUACUCCUCCGUCACCUCACGUUUCACUUUGUUGAUUAACUCCACCGCAUACCCAAAUGGAUUUCCACAAAGCUUCCCUGCAGUGGUGAUUGCUGCAGGGUAUGCAAAAACGUUGCCGUAGUAACCAACAGGUAAUGGAGGAUUGAACCUGGCACGUGCAUUGACUAUGCACAUCAUGCGAACAUCCUCAUCUGCCUCUAUUUGCAAUGCUUUUGUGCGACAGCGCCACAAGCAUGCUGUGAUGAUAUCAAAUGUGGUGCAGUAUUUAAGGUUAUGGGGAAUCAAGCGGCGAAGGGCUGCUAUCUCGACAGGUCCUAGGAAGAAUGAUCGAUGAACCAUGUUGUUGUCGUUGUCGUACGAGGAAGUGAUGGUCCCUUCCUUGGUGUCUGGGACAUGCUCGUAUUCGCGAUGGUUGCAUGUAAUGCGAGGUGGAUCUCUUGCCAUUAGGAGCUCCCUACGCCACACAGGUACAAUGGAAGGACUUUUAACACCUCGAGCCAUUUCAGCCCAAGUGUUCAUGAAUUGUGACAAACCAGCUCCAUCGCUCAUGGUGUGGUUCAUGCGAGUGGCCAGGAUGAAACCACCACACCUGAGUCGUGUCACCUGCAUUUAAUUUCCAAGGUCAACUGGUCAAGAUAUGUACAGAUUCUACUUUUCUAUAGUUUAACUAACAGGGAAAAGAAAACUCGACAAAAUAUGUUAUACGAUGGAAAAUAUAUAGAGAAAAAUAUAUAAAUUAUAAAGAUUUAAGUAUAUUUUUAUUUCUUGUUCCAUUUGUUUUUAAUUAUAAUAAUUUUUCAACUCAUAUUUUUUAAGAAAAAUAAUUAAUUUAUUGUUAAUUAAUUGUAUUAUCAUUUCAAAAUUAUUAUUUUUUAUUUUUCAUUAAUAUUUGAAAAGAAAAUAAAUAAAUAAAAGUAUAUAGAAAAAAAAUAAUUAAUACAUCUAAAAAUUAAAAAAUCUUAUAAAAAACAACAAACAAAUUUUAAAAAAUGUUCUUAUAAUUGACGGAGGGAGUAUUAUAUUCAUGAUGCGUUAGUAAAACCUAUAAAUUUUAUGCAAAGAUAUCAUCCCAAAAAUUAAUAAAGUUUAAUAUGUGAAAAUGAUUUUUUUUUUCAUGUUAAAAUUCAAGAUUCCCUUCCCGUGUAAAGAUAUGUACGUCUUUGGAGUUCUCGUGUGAAGUCGCUACUUAUUAAUUUUGGAGUUCUCUAAAUUACCUCAAAUAAAAAUAAAAAUAAAAACAGGAUUAAACAAUCUGAUAAAUGAUUAGAAAAUAAUUAUACUAACAUUUUUUUUUUCAAGGGUAUUAUAUAUGAGGUAUUUAAUCCUAUUUUUAUUUGAGGUAAACUAAACAACGCAUCAAUUUUCAUAAGAAAAAUAGUAUAGAAACAGAAUUUACAAGAUCGUAUAAAAUUCCAACAAUAGAUUCACUCUUACGUAUGCAAAAGAAGAUGAAAAAAUGUGUAUUGAACCUGUACGAGUAGAAGGGGAGUGUUAGUAAUUCCAAAAAUAGAUUCACUCUUACUUAUGCAAUUUGCCUAUGUCGUUUUUAGAAUUUUCAUGUGGCUUUUGAACGUUUUUUUUUUUCUUUGUACAAAGAAGUGGAUAAAUUAAUAAAUUAUAAACAAUGUGUAUUGGACCUGUAUGAGUAGAAGGGGAGUGUUAGUAAUUUCUUCAGUCUCUGGAACAUUAUAUAGAAGUUCUUGGAAGCAUGGGAAUGGAGGUUGGAGAGCUUCACCACCAAACUGAUAAAGUGUUACGUCUGCAUCAGCCUCAAUGAACAUGACGCCCUCCCCAGUACAAUCCACCAUUAAUUUGCGGUCAGGGCCCUCCCUAAGCCUACCGGCAAAUGGGUAAUAGAAAACAAGUGUUUUUGCCAGUGCCUGCCGAAUGACUUCAACAGGGUCUUUCCCUGCCAUUGAUGGUUGGUUAUGAUAAAUCUGAAUAAUUGGAACCUGGAAACGAAAGCCGUCUUGAUCAUCUAUGUCGGAUAGUGGUUUAAGUUGGUGAGGAGUGGGUGUAGCAGGAGCCACCAGCUCAGGUUGGCACCUUCGCACUGUGAACAUUAGAGAGGGAGAAGAUGAGGCCAUGUUAUCUGGGACAGCUAGAGAAUGAGAUCGCUGAUUAAUAAAAAACGAAAGCAAAAGAGAUAUGAAGUGAGUUACUGGAAGCAAGGGCUGCUUGCCUUUAUAAAGGAAAUUGAAAGCCCGUACGUUUUCAUAAUGACACUUCCGUUAGAAGUUCCAAUAUGUUUCACAUUUGUUUGUUUUUUGUUUUUUUCCUUAUUGUUGCAGUUGUAGGGUCGAUUAAAAACGAUCAUUUACGUAACCAAAUUAAACCGAUGGGAAGUUUGCCAAUUGGCACCGCUGUGGUUGUUCUUAGAGUGAAGAUGAUAUUUGGAUACACAUUAUGAACACCUUUUAUUUCUCUGUAUAAACAUCCCUCCUCUUAUAAGUAACGUGAAUCAUAUUGUUAAUAUUCCUAAUACUAUUCUUCACAUUUCUCUCGUGGUUCUCGUUUACUAGACUCGUUGUGUAGUAAAUAGUAAUGUAUUUCGUUUGGGUCACUCAGUUAAACGGAGUAUAUUGCAAUAAUAAAAAAUUGAAAACACUUGCAAUUUCAGAAUAUAAUCCUGCUGAUGACACUUACAUCUUUUCUUGAUAGUCAGCAAUAUGCGUCACUUUUUUUUUUUUUAAAAGGAUAGUACCUAAAAGAUUAUUGAUUAAAAAAAAUUUAAAAAGUUUUUUUAUUAAGAAACAAAAAAUUAUAUUAUUUAUAAUUUUCUUACGUUUUUUAUAAUUUACAUAAUAAAUAUUUUUUUAAUUCUUUAACUAAUAUUUAAAAAAGCAAUAAUUUUUUUAAUUGUUGGAUAACAUUCGUGAAUUUUAUAAUCCCAACAAUGUUGGGUUCAUUACCCAAAAUUAAAGGCAAUAAUCUAUAUAAACCUUAAAAUAUUUAUUUAUGAACACCCAAUAACAUUUAAACGAUGACACCUACAUUUUUGUUUGCUAGAAGUGAAAUAGGUAGGAAACUGGUAGGUGAGAAUAAAAUUAGAAGAAUUGAAUAUGUAUGUUUAGUUUAUUUCCAAAAAUGCACGUUAUCUUCAUAGUUAUUAGCAAAGAGAUAUGCACCACUCCAUUGUUAGGUAAGUGUACAGCGUUCUCGUAUUUAAGGGAAUCAGUGACUAAUUGGUAAUAUUAUUAAUUCUUGUAUUAAUUAUUUAAAAUUCAUAUUUAUGAUAAUUUUAGUGGGUUAAAAUGAAAUAAUUUAUCAAAAGGUUAUUUGUAAUAUGUUGAAAAGUACCUACCAAAUUAAAAGCAAUUGUUGUUAUAUAUCUGACUAUAAUUUGUAGUAUAUAUAAUUAAUGUUAGAAACAACAAGAGAGGACAGAAAAUUGUUUAAGAUACGUAGGUUGGACAAGUAUAAAGUAAUUAAAUCACUAACUAGAUGCAAAUUAAAGUGAAGAGAGUGGAUUGCAUGACCAAUGAAAAAUGGAAGAGAGAGAUUCAAAAUGGCAUAUUGGAAGAAGUUAUUAAGAUGUAUCUCAUUAACGGAGAGAUCAUGUAAUUAAUCCGUGUAACCAACCUUAGUAGAAUGAAAUUUUUGUUGUUUUUAUUUUAUGGCGGAUAUUGCAUACACUUUUUUUUUAUCUAUGAAAAAAAAAAAGAGUAGUGUGAACUGUUUGACAGAAAUCAGCCAAGCCUAUUUCAUGUUUAAUUAAUUGUAACAAAUAGUUCUGUAUGUCAUUGUCAAAUAUUUAUUCUUCACAUUUAUCUUGUAGUUCUCGUGUAUUAAACUAGUAGUGUUCAAACUCAAGAGAUAGAUAAAGAGGACACGUUGUGAUGAUUUGCUGGAAGUGCAAAGAACUUAAAAAACAAAUUGGAGGACAUGCUUGUAUGUAACAAUUGAAAAAGUUAAUUGAUCCUCUUUCUAACACUUUUUUAAUAUUCUUUUUACGAUUUAGUUAAAAUUUAUUGAAAAUUACUAAUUUUGAUAAAUUUUACUUCUAAAUUAAAAGAAUGACAUUAAAUGAGAUAUAAAACACUAAAGUUGAUGAUUUUCAAUAUAUUUUAAUUAAUUUUAUAAAAAGUGUUGAAUAAAGAGUGUAAAAGAAAAUUAAUGCCAUUAAUAUUUCUCAAAACAAAAAGAUUGACAUAAAAUGUUAUGGGUUAAUUUUUUUAUUUUUUAUCUCUUAAUUUUUAUUGUAAAGGAAUAGAAUGAAACAAAAGUUUCAAGGGUAAUUAAUUUUGUGAAAAGCAACAAUAAUAAAUGAGAAUCAUAGACAAAAAUAGGUUAGGUCACCUAUUCACAGGUGGCCUAUGGCCAACCCUGCUUUAAGGCAUAAUGACUUGAUUAAUAAAAAGAUCAAAUUAAAACCUUUUGAAAAUCAUAUUUAAAUAAAUAAAUAAAAGUGAAGUUCAGAUAUUAAAAAAAAAACUAUUAAAUUUACCAUGUGUGAUAAUUGAACACUUUUUAAAAAUCAGCAAAGAGGAUUAUAUUAAAUUAAAAGAGGUACCACAAUACAAAGAAACCACUGCCCACAAAAUGAAAACCUGAUUAUAAAUAUUUAACUCAGACAUGAGAAAAUUAUGGCUAACCAGGAAACAGAGAAACACUAGAAACAAAACACAAGCACACCCAAGAAUAAAUACAGCACGCACUCCUCAAAAGUGAUCAAAUCGCAGCAGCAAAUCAAACCAUUCCCUUAACAUGCAUGCAGCAUCACCUUCCCAAUCCACUACCAACACGCAAUACAGUAGUUCAUACAUAUCACCUUUUUUUUAAGGAUAAACACUGUAUUCAAAGAAUAUUGACCGAUUAAAGAAUUUAAAGGAAAAAUAUUUCUAUUGAGAAACGAAAAAUUAUAUUGUUUAUAAUUUUUUAUAUUAUGUAUUUCUAUAAUUUAGAUAGUAAACAUUUUUUCCUUUUUAAUUCUUUAACUAAUAUUCUAAAAAUAUUGAUAAAGAAAGAAUUAUUUUAAUUGUUGGGUAACAAUAUUGGUGAUUCUUAUAAUCCCAAUAAUGUUGGGUUCAUCACCCAAAAUUAAGGGCAAUAAUCUAUAGAAACCUUAAAAUAAUUAUUGAUGGACACCCGAUAACAUUUAAAUGAUGACCCCUACAUUUUUGUUUGGUAGAAGUGAAAUAGGUAGGAAACUGAGAGGUGAGAAUGAAAUUAGUCUAUUCUAAAAAUUCACCAUGUUUUUUUUAUAGUCAAGAUAGACUAAAUUUAUAUGUUUUUAAUUUGAGAAUCACAUUUAUCUAUAUGAAAAACAUUGAUUUUUACUAUUUAUGUUCGAAAAAUAUAAAAAUUAAAAAUAUUUUUUUCAAUUUUUUUAUACUGGAGUCGGUGAAGUUAGGUGUUAGUUUUUUUUUAUUUGGUAAAAUUGUACUUUUGGUCCCCCACUUUAGGUCCAAUUUCGCAUUUGGUCCUUCGCUAAUUUAAUUCACAAAUUGGGUCCCUCUAUUUUAUAAAAUCCUGCAAUGUUGGUCCCCGAAGCCUCAAUUGGAUGUUGACUAUUAAGCUCAGACGUUGACUGCCACAUGUCAACAUCUGAGAGGCUCUUGAAAAUUUUUACUUUGUGGUAAAAAAAUUUACGUUGACCCAAUUCCCGCUAACCCUAAUUCUACAAUGUGGGUUCGCUGCGCGUGAUAGAACUUCAGCUGGUGGCCUUCAUCUUGGUGUUCUCAACAAGUGGCCUCGUCCCACUCAUUGAUCUAGUGUUCCCUGCAUUCGUCUCUCCAUACAUCUUGGCACUUUAUUGGUGGUUUGUCUCUAACCCAAUUAAUUUACAAAUCCCUAACCCUAAAUAGUAUUUUAUCAAUCUUCUUCUUACUAAUAUUUUUCUUUCUCUUCCUCUGUCUAAUUCUGAAACAAACAAUGAAACAUUGAGUGACAAUUCUAUUGCGUGGAAUGUUCUUCUUCUGAUGAAAAUGAAGUGUUUCUAUUUCUUAAACGGAGAAGACGAGGAUUUCGUGGAGGGAGGAGUGGCGGCGAGUUCGCGCGACGGCUCCACCUCGCACGUGUCAUGGGCUCGUUCGCUAAGCUUGAUGGACACGCACAAUAGCAGCAGUCGCUCCCACUUCGUCUCCGAGUCGACGGAGUUCUCUGAUACGGUGGACUUCCACCACUUCCUAGCGCAACGUGGUGCCAACAAUCUCCGUCUUUUCUCCUUCUUCGACCUGAAAUCCGCCAUGCGCGCCUUCAGCCGCACCCUCCUCGUCGGCGAGGGAGGCUUCGGCUCUGUCUACCGUGGCUUUCUCGACCAAAACGAUGUUGCAAUCAAGCAGUUGAACCGCAACUUUACUAUGUAGUUUGUCUUUGUUUUCGCCACCCAUGAGGGCGUUGGUGCCAAUCAUCUACACAAUUCGGAGGAUCUUUGUGGAUAUUGAUUGGAUUCAUGAUGUCUGGCUCAAUAAGACUUUGCGUAAAUUGUUGUAAAACCUGCAAUGUUGUUAUGAUAGGAUUUUCCUUAAGGAUUAGGGAUUAGGGUUAGGGGGAAUUGGAUCAACAUAAAUGUUUUCACCACAGAGUAAAAAUUUUCAAGAGUCUUUCAGACGUUGAUACAUGAUAGUCAACAUCUGAACUUAACGAUCAACGUCCAAUUAAAAUUUCAAGGACCAACAUUACAGGAUUUUACAAAACAGGGGAUCCAAUUUGUGAAUUAAAUUAGUAAGGGACCAAAUGCGAAAUUGGACCCAAAGUAGGGACUAAAAGUGUAAUUUUAUCCUUUUAUUUUUAAAGUGACACUAUAUAUAGCUUUUACAUUAGAUAUUUGAAAUAAUUAUAUUAUUUAUAUUAUAUAUAUAUAUAUAUAUAUAUAUAUAUAUAUAUAUUUAAUAUCGUUUAUAAUAUCAACCAUCUAAUUUUACAUUUUUUCUAUUAUCAUUAUUUUUUUAUUGUACAAAGAAAUGGUACGACCUAAGACAUAUCAUUUCUCUUAUUUAAAAGGACGACUGCAACUGCGAACAAUGCUUGCCAUAAAAAAUAAUAAUAUAAUUGUAAACGCAAUUUCAAAAUCCUAGGACGUUAGGACAACCAUUCGUUUAAAAAUGCACCUUAUCUUGAUAGUUAUUAGCAAAGAGAUAUGCACCACUCCUUUAGUAGGUAAGCGUACAGCGUACUCGUAUUUAAGGGAUAUAUAUGUAAAAAAAAUAUUGUGAAUCAGCGACUAAUUGGUAAUAUUAUUAAUUCUUAUAUUAAUUAUUUAAAAUUCAUAUUUAUGAUAAUUUUAAUGGGUUAAAAAUGAAAUAAGUUAUCAAAAGGUUAUUUGUAAUAUAUUGAAAAGUACCUACCAAAUUAAAAGCAGUUAUUGUUAUAUAUCUGACUAUGAUUUGUAGUAUAUAUAAUUAAUGUUAGAAACAACAAGAGAAGACAGAAAAUUGGUUAAGAUACGUAGGUUGUACAAGUAUAAAGUAAUUAAAUCACUAACUAGAUGCAAAUUAAAGUGGAGAGAGUGGAUUGCAUGACCAAUGAAAAACGGAAGAGAGAGAUUCAAAAUGGCAUAUUGGAAGAAGUUAUUAAGAGAUGUAUCUCAUUAACCGAGAGAUCGUAUAAUUAAUCAGUGUAACCAACCUCAGUAGAAUGAAGUUUUUGUUGUUUUUAUGGCGGAUAUUGCAUACACUUUUUUUCAUAUAUGAAAAAAAAAAGUGUAAUGUGAACUGUUUGACAGAAAUCAACCAAGCCUAUUUUCGUGUUUAAUUAAUUGUAACAAAUAGUUAUGUAUGCCAUUGUCAUAUAUUUAUUCUUCAUAUUUAUCUUGUAGUUCUCGUGCAUUAGAUUAGUAGUGUUCAAACUCAGGAGAUAGUUGAUAAAGAGGACACGCUGUGAUGAUUUGCUGGAAAUGCGAAGAACUUAAAAAACGAAUCGAACAUGCUUGUAUAACGAUUGAGAAAUGUUAUCUGAUCCUCUUUCUAACAUUUUUUUUAAUAUUCUUUUUACAAUCUAGUUAAAAUUUAUUUAAAAACAUUAAUUUUAAUAGAUUUCGACUUCUAAAUUAAGAAAAUAACAUUAAAAGAGAUAUGAAACACUAAAGUUGAUGAUUUUUAAUAUCUUUUAAUUAAUUUUAUAAAAAAAUGUUGAAUAAAGAGUGUUAAAGAAAAUAAAUGUCACCAAUAUUUUUCAACAAUUAAUUUUGUGAAAAGUAACAAUAAUAAAUGAGGAACAGGGACAAAAAUAGGUUAGGUCACCUAUCGACAGGUGGCCUAUGGCCAACCCUACUUAAUGCCUAAUGACCUGUUUAAUAAAAAGAACAAAUUAAGACUUUUUGAAGAUCGUAUUUAAAUAAAAAAAAUAAAGGUCAAGUUCAGGUAUUAAAAAAUACCUAUUAAAUUUACCAUGCCUGAUAAUUGAACACUUUUUAAAAAAUCAACAAAGAGGAUUAUAUUAAAUUGAAAGAGGUACCACAAUACAAAGAAACCAGCAGUGAACCUGGUUGUAAAUAUUUAUCCCAUACAUGAGAAAAAUAUUGCUAACUAGGAAAUAGAGAAACACCAGAAAGACUAGACGAAACACAAGCACACCCAAGAAUAAAUAUAGCAUGCACUCCUCAUUGUUCCCGCGUGACAUCAACCUGGUUCCUGCUGCGUGGUUCGUGCCUCUUUGACCUAGCUAGCAGUUCCAUUGGAGGAGGGCGAUGGGGUUUGGGUUUGGGUUUUGGAGGGAAGGAAAGGGGAAUGAGGAUGGAGGAAGAAUGUAGAGUGGUGAAAUCAUCGUCGUUUUAGAGUAUUUAAAGAGAGUUUCCUAAAAAUCAUCUUUGACAUGUUGACAGUUUUUAUAAAAUUAUUAUAAUUACACAAAUGAUGAUGUUUUUUUGCAACCCUCGUUCAGAUUGUGUCAUAAUUUUUUUUUUUUUAGUAGUAUCAAAAGUAAUCAAAUUGCAGCAGCAAAUCAAACCACUUCCUUAACAACAUCACCCACUUCGCAAUCCACUACCAAUACGCAAUACAAUAGUUCAUACAUAUCGAUCACCACCACCGUUCCCACAAACCUGCCAGUACUACACAUUUUUUUAAUAUGAUUAUCCGGUAAAAACUCUUAGUUAUAAUUUAUUACAGUGUUAUUUUAUUCUUUAACAUUUGAUUUACGGGUUUGUCUAAUUGACCAAAGUAAACAUAGGACUAAAUAAUCUCAUCUUCAAUGACCAUGGGCUCAAAAGUGAAACUGGUGAUUUAAUAUAAUUUCUGAUAUACAUUCAAUAUUUGAACAUUAAUCUAAAUGUUUGAAUAUAUUUUCAUCCCAAUCAUAAUUAUAGCAAUAAGCUCAAAUAUUAGUUUUAUUAUUCUCUGUUGUUUUCAUUAAUUAUCCAAUACUUUUUAACACGUAAUUAGGAUUUUUAAUUUAAAAUUCAAAAUUAAUGAUUUAAAGAAAUUAUAAUUUUUAAUCGAAUUCAUUAUACAAAAUACUUUUUUAAUGUUGGUAAUAUAUAGGAUAGGAGGAAAAUUUCAGUUAAAAAUAUAUUGAGGUUUAAAUUACAAAAAAAUAAUAUAAACAUAAAAAAUCUCUACCUGAGCAUAUAUUAAUUAAUAUUAAUAUUAAUAUUUAAAAUACAUCAUCUUUUUUUUUAUAUAAAAAGUACGUAUAAUCGAGUGCAUAUAAAUCAAUUUGUUAGAGUGUUGUUUUAAUUAAACCAUUAGUUUUAAUUCGAGUAUUAAUUGAGACCAAUACUUCGAUCAAUAUUAAAACACAAUAGGCCAGGAGAGUCGUGUUGCCCAAAGAGACGGAACUUUAGUUUAAAUAGGGUGAGUCAGACAUAGAAAACUAUCAUUAUUAAUAAAAAUAUAUCAAUUUAAAAUAAAAUAAAAACAAGCAAGAAAAACAUUUAAUAAUGCUUCUGAGGACUCAAAUUUCACGAGUUAAAUUUAUUUAUUUUCUUCACCCUUUCCAAUAUAUUAAGAAUUUCAUAAGCUACAAACUAGUACUAUAAGGUAGACAUGAUAAAAUUAGGACUACUUGUCGUCGGUUGGUUCUGGUUCUGGUUCUGGUUCCGGUUCCCAAGCAUGUGGUCUAACUCUUUCGCAAACCUAUUCAUAGAUUCGGUAGGCAACAAAAUCGGUAACACUAUGCCUUCUUCACCUUUCGCAUUCUUAUAGGAAACAUGAUAAGUUGCUGCAGGAAAGGUCCCAGCCCCAGCUUGGGCAACUCCACCAUACACAGCAUCACCCCACCCAAAAUCCACUUCUCUAAACCUAGCACGUGUCAAAUCCGAAAUAAUACAUGACCUCACGCUUGUGAAUGAGCAUCGUUCCUUAAUCACCAUUAAAUAUGCCACAGAAUGCAUAUACUCUUCUGUCACCUCACGUUUCAGUUUAUUGAUUAACUCCACCGCAUACCCAAAUGGAUUUCCACAAAGCUUCCCUGCAGUGGUGACUGCUGCGGGGAGUGCAACGGCAUUACCGUAGUAACCAACAGGUAAAGGGGGAUUGAACCUAGCACGUGCGUUGAUGAUGCACAUCAUGCGAACUUCCUCAUCUGGUUUCAUCUGCAACGCUUUUGUGCGACAACGCCAGAAGCAUGCUGUGAUGAGAUCAAACGUUGAGCAUUGACGAAGGUGGUGUGGAACCAAGCGACGAAUGGCAGCUAUUUCGGUGGGUCCAAAGAAGAAUGAUCGCUGAACCAUGUUAUCGUUCGAAGGGGUGAUGAUGGUGUCUUCGAGUUGGUCGUAUUCGCGAUGGCUGCAUGUAAUACGAGGUGGAUCUCUUGCCCUUAGAAGCUCCCUACGCCACACAGGUGCGAUGGAAGGUUUGGUAGCAUGACUUCGAGCCAUUUCAGACCAAGCGUUCAUGAACUGUGAUAUACCACCUGCGUCUCCAAUGGUGUGGUUGAAGCGGAAGGCCAAGAUGAAACCAUCACACUUGAGUCGUGUCACCUGUAUGUAUAAGAUUAUAUUAAUUUCCACCAUCAAUAAAUUGACAAAUUCUACUCCCACCAUACCUUUCUAUUUGGUUAAAUUAUUCAUAAAAAAAUGCUAACGAAUACCCUGAGAAUCCAGGUUAUGGAGUCUAAGAUGAUUUUUUUUUUAAUAGAAAGUAUAACUACAUAUCAUUUGGUGAUUUCCAAUGCAACUUCAAUAAAAAAAAAAUCAUUAUACUGUAAUUUUUUAACUAAUAUCUUAAAAGACACUUAUUAACGAGACUCACUGUUCAUUGGUGGUUCAUGUGUAUAGUUGUUUUUAUUUUAAAUUUUUAUACAAGAAAUUUAAUACAUAUAAUAGUCCUUGUUUAAUUUUUUCUAUAGUAAUUUAUCCUCGUCAAAAAGGUUUUUUUAACAGUUUUAGAUUGACAAAUUAUUUUUUGAUAUUAAAAUCAAGAAUCAAAACUUAACUUCCUAUGUAAGAAUAUUAAAACUUAAGUUUUCUCUUAUAGAAAUAAAACUUAGAAUAAAAAUAUUUAUAAGAUCAAAUAAAUACUUUAACUUUUUAUUAUCGUUAGUUAAUACAAAGAAAAUGAAAGAAAGAAACAUUAACAGAAAAAAUAUAAAGAGAAAAAAUCAACUAUAUGCAAUAAUAUAACUCUAAGAAAUUAAUUGAAGUUUAAUAUAUAUGUGACAAUUCUUUCAUGUUAAAAUUCAAGGUUAUCCUUCCAUAUUUUCGUUGUAAAUAUUUAUAAAUUUAUAAAAAUCGAAAGUCUACUAUAUAAAUUUUAUGAAAAAUUAAGGAUAUAGAAUCAAAAUUUAUAAGAUCAUAUAAUUAAAAUUUUAACAAUAUAUUUUGAGUGUCUUGUUAUGCAAUUUGCCUAUGUCGUUUUUAGAAUUUUCAUGUGGCUUUUGAACUUUUUUUUUUUUUCUUUGUACAAAGAAGUGGAUAAAUUAAUAAAUUAUAAACAAUGUGUAUUGGACCUGUAUGAGUAGAAGGGGAGUGUUAGUAAUUUCUUCAGUCUCUGGAACAUUAUAUAGAAGUUCUUGGAAGCAUGGGAAUGGAGGUUGGAGAGCUUCACCACCAAACUGAUAAAGUGUUACGUCUGCAUCAGCCUCAAUGAACAUGACGCCCUCCCCAGUACAAUCCACCAUUAAUUUGCGGUCAGGGCCCUCCCUAAGCCUACCGGCAAAUGGGUAAUAGAAAACAAGUGUUUUUGCCAGUGCCUGCCGAAUGACUUCAACAGGGUCUUUCCCUGCCAUUGAUGGUUGGUUAUGAUAAAUCUGAAUAAUUGGAACCUGGAAACGAAAGCCGUCUUGAUCAUCUAUGUCGGAUAGUGGUUUAAGUUGGUGAGGAGUGGGUGUAGCAGCCAGCAGGAGCCACCAGCUCAGGUUGGCACCUUCGCACUGUGAACCUUAGAGAAUUUGGAGGUGACGAGGCCAUGCUAAGGGAGAACGAUCGAGAGUGUUAUUUUCUGGGCUAGGACUGCUACCCUUUUAUAAACGGAGUAUACAUUGCCAUAAAAAAAAUUUGAAAUUAAUCAUAAUUUCAGAAUCGUGGGACUAAUAUGUUUCACGUUUUCUUUUUGUUGGGAAAACGUCAGUGUUAAUUAAAGCCUUAAAGUCAUAAUUCACGGGUAUGAAAAAGCAUGGCAUCUUCCAUGCGUCCAAAUAUCGUGGUUGCUAAUACUCCUGUCCAUUAAAAAAAAAUUAAAUGCCAUUAUAUUCCUAAGUAUCAUUUAAUUAUAAAUUAUUAUUUAGAUAAUUUUAAGAUGUUUUUAUAAAAAUCAAUCAAUUUUAUCAUUUAUAAUAAUUUAUAAUUAAAUAAUAAUAUAAAAUUAUUUUAUAUUAUCAAUGUAUAUCUAAUUUAUCAAAGAGAAAUUAUUAAUUAUUUUAUUUUAAUUAAUAAUAUUACUCAUAAUUUAAGGAAUUUUAAUUUUUUUCGAUGAGUAUGUCUUAUAUUAUUAAUAUUCUAAUAAAUAGUUAAAUGCAUGUAGACUUUUAUGAAAAAAUGAGUGGAUCUUUCAUUAAUAGACCUAACAAUAAGUUAAGAGUAUAAAAAAAAUUUAAUAAUUAUUCUCUCCGUUCCAUAAUAAUAUUUAUAUAAAAAGAAAAAAAUUAUUCAAAAAUAAUAAUUGUUUUAACUUUUCAAUGUAACAUAAAUUAUUUUUUUCACUUAUAUCCUUUAUAAAAUUAAUUAUACGAGUUAAAAAAAACUAAAAAUGAUUUAGUGAUAACAAAGUUAAUUAAUUUUGUAAAUUAGUAUUCUUUUUUAUAUAUUUAUUAGUUUUUUUGUUUGUAUAAAAUAACCUUGUACCCGCAAUUAUAUAUAUGAAACGGAGGUAGUAUUAAUUUGAAUGUGAUCAUACGUUUCUUAUAGGAUGGAGGGAGUAUUAAUAAUGCCAUAAAAAAAAAUUGUAAAAGUGCAAUAUCAAAAUCAGAGUCAAAGGACCGUGCAUUUAACGCCUUAUCUCGAUAGAUAGUUAGCAAAGCAAUAUGCACCACUCUUUAUUUUUGUUAGGUAAACAUUCACACUUAUGGGAGAUGGUUUUUUCUUUUUGUAUUUUUAUUGCUUAAAUGUCUAACCUCUAAUAAAUAAAUUUUUAAUAAAUAAUGACUUUUCUAAAAUUAUUUAUUAGUUUUACACUAAAGCUAAAAUGAAUUUUCAUUUUAAAUUAUACAAGAAGGAAAUAGAUGCAUUAAGCAACUAUCCUUAUAUAGUUGUCAACCAACUGUUUUAUUCUAAUUGUUUGAUUCCUACACCAAUACAUUAUAAUACACUCGUUACUUAAUUAGUUAAUGUUAGACAAAUUGUGUAAGUGAAGUCUACAUGACGUAGAAAUUUCUCUAAAUUAAGCUUAUGGGUUUUUCGACCAAGACUUCAAAACUGGAUACUAUUAUCUUGUGUACGCAAUGAGCUCAAGAUAAAUUACAUGUAGAACAAAAGAAAAAUGUUGCCAAAGUUUUCAACAAAACUUAUAAUUAAAGUCUGAAUAACAACACUUCAGAAUACCAUAGCUGAGAUACGUCUAAAAUGACUGCAAUUCAUUCAUGUGUUGAUACAUAAUUGUAAAGCUUAAGCAAGUGAUAAAUUAUCAAUAGUAGAAGUUGAAUAUUUUUACCAUGUGAUCAGCCGCCUCCUCAAACAAAUUUUUCUAGUUCAAUCCUGAUUGGCAGUGAAUAUUGAGGUUUAAAGAGAAUAAAAAAAAAAAGAAAAAAGUAAAAGUAAUAUAAAUGAAAAUGUUAAGAUCAUGUGCUCCCACAAAUAAAGAUAGAAUAUAAAAUGAUUGUAUAUAUGAUGAGAGUGCGGCAACUAUUGGGUAAAAAAUUAAAUGACUAAAAAUUAGUUAAAAGGGUAUAAACACAUACAAAGAUCAUAGAAUACACCAGUAAGAAGAGAAUAUUACAUGACUUUUAAUUAAGGGUGUUUGCAUAUAGUUUGAUUUGAUUUUUAGAUAAAAAUUAUCUGAACUAAAUAUAAAAUAAAGAUGUUGUUUGAUAUAAAUAUAAUAUCAAAUCUAAAUCAAACCAAAUCAAACUUUUGUGAUUUGGUUUGAUUCAGUUUAACAAUAUUUUUUAUUUUAUUAUUAUAAUUUAAAAUUUAUCCACUAAAUUUAUAUAAUUAUUAUGUUAUAUUAUUUUAAAAAUGAAAUUUAUCCUUUCAUUGAUUUUUUAAACAUAUUUUAUUUUAAAAAUAUUAUUUUCACAUCUAUUUAGCAUUAAUAUAAAAUAAUAUUACAAAUUUUUUAACAUAAUAGUAAUUUAUACUUCACUUGAUAUUUAAUUCUAUUUUUUAAUAAUAUUAAUAUAUUCUUUUUUAAUAUGUGGAAGUGAAAUAUGUAUCUUGGUUAUAAAGUAAAGAAAAAUUAAUAAAUUAUUUGUUACUUAUUAUUAGUUAUCACAAUAAAAAUCAACAUAAUUAUAAUAUGAUUUAUUUGAUUUGAUUCAUAUUUUAUAACAAGAUUCGAAAAUUGAACUAAACUAUAAAAAAAUGCAAUUUUUUAUAUUUUUAGAUUUUAUAAUUUUCAAUUUUUUGGAUCAAUUUAAUCAUUUGUGAAUGAUUUGAUUCAAUUUUAAAUACUCCUACUUUUAAUUUUAUAAAAGAGAGAGAAACAUAUAUAACAAAAUCAAUAUUGAAGUUGUCAUGAGAAAUAUUAUUGUGAAUAAUAUUUCUGAAGAACUGGUCUUUAACGAAAUUAAAUGGAAUUGUGUAAUUCAUCUCACUGAAUCAAUCAGGCUUUUUCUUUUGUUUAGAUGUCAACUAAUGCAUACAAUUUUUUUCUUUUCAGAAAAUGGAGUAAUGGGAAUCCUUUGACAGAAAUAGACAAGUCAUUCGGCAAUUGCUUCUUGCAUUCCGUGAAUUGCUUUAUGCACUUCCCAUAUUGCUUUCAAAAUUAUCAUUCCAAAAUAAGAGUAUUUAGUGUAAGGGUCAACAUGUGAUUUAACCCAAUCCAAUGACACUAAAUUUGGUUUCUAAAGUAUUUGAAUCAUCUAACCUGAUUAAGACUUGAUCAUAAUCAGAUUGGAUAACAAAUUCUUUUUUUUUUAAUCUGACCAGUCCAUACCAUAUAAUUUAAUUUAUUAUUAUUAUUAUUAUUAUUAUUAUAUAUAUAAAUUAUUAAACAUAAAACACAUUAGUAAUUUGUAGCUUACAUAGUUUAUAAAUUAAACCAUCCAUAUUUUUUUUUUCUUUUUUAAGUUGUUUUUAUUCUUGUCUUGAUUUUAUUUAUAUUUUUACAUACUGAUAUCAUACUUUAUUUCUAUCUAAAAUAAAAUAUCUAUUAACAUUGAAAUCAUUAAUUCUAUUAGUCAAAUAUUUUUAUAAUUUGAUCCUUUUUUAGUGCUUUUAAUCAUUAUAUACUUAAAAAACUUUAGAAAAAAAUAAAUUAUGAUUCUAAUUUUUUUUUAAAAAUAAAAAUAUAUGGACUCAAUUAAUCCAAUUCAACAUAAUCCAUUUAUGAUUAAGUUGGAUUGGAUCUAAAUUUUUUUACAAAAACUCAACUCAACCCAAUCCAUAGAUAUUUGAUCCAGUUGAAUAAUAAAUUUAGUCAAAUUCAACUCAAUCCAAACUGUGCAUCCUUUCUUUUGGAGGUAACAUGGGAAGUCCACGAAGCAAUUCUGAAAAAACACCCGAGUCAUUCGUAGCAUUCUCGUCUUUAAUUUUGACAAAUAGUAUUGAUAUGGUGUCAUUGUCAUGUGUUAAUUCUUCACAUUUUCUUGUAGUUAUGGAGUUUUAGACUGGUAGAGUGGUAGUGUCCUAAGCUUGGAUGGAACUAAAUAUAAGCCUACAAGUUAAUCGUCCUUAUGAUAAAAAAAUCUCUUAAUAGUUGGGGGGGAAAAAUCACCCUCCUUUAAUAUUCUCUGUCCCUGAGUGGAAAAUAUUCUUUUUUAGCAAACCUAUUAUUUUUUAUUCCGUCCCAUAGUUCAAAAUAAAGGAACCGAUAGAAACCACAAAUUGUGAUAAUUUGAUGGAUGUUAAAAGAGUUAAAAAAAAUGAUCAAGGCUUGGGAAAAACUAACUUUGGAUGAGAGCAUUGAAUCUAAGUCAUACAAUUAUAGAUAAAAGAUUUAAUGUUAUCUAAUUAUUUUUUUUUAAAUGUAACUUUUUAAUAUUAUCUUUUUUUUAAUACAUGAUCUUGCAUAUUUUCUUAAAAGGAUUGCAUAGUGACUAAAGUUAUUAAACUAGCAACUGUUAUUUUUUGGUCAUUAUAUGCAAAAAUAAUGUUUAAUUAUUAUUUUUGUCCUCUAAUUUAUUUUUUAAGUUUAAUUUACUCCUCUUAUCAUUAAAAGGUUUAAUUAAGUGCUAUAUUUUUUUUAAAAUUUAAUUAAGUCCUUUAAAAUUAAAUUUGAUAUUUUUUAAAAAAAAUAUGAAAUAAUAAAAAUAAAAUCAAAUUAAACUUAUUUUAGAAAAUAAAAGUUUAAAUCUUGGCAAAAAACCACACCAAAAGCAUUUUCUUAAAAAGAAAUAUAUUAUUAAUAGCGUCAGUCCAAUCAACACUAAAUUUUCAUUUAAGAAGAAAAAAUGGCUUCAACUAAGUGUUGAUUGGACCCACCUCUAAAUAAUAAUUCUUUAAAAAAUAAUUAGUGUAAGCCACAACUCACGUUAUUUCCGAUACUAAGUAAAAGAUAAUUUUAUAGUGGCUAAAUGAUUAUUUUGGUUUUUUUAGUUUGGUUUUCAGUUUUUUUUGUUACAAUUAAAAAUUUAUUUUGAUUAUUUAUUUUAUUUUAUGUAAAGUAAUAAUUUAUAUUUUUAAGAGUUUACUUAAAUCUUUUGUUUUAUUUAAAAUAUUCAAAAUCAUCAUUCAACUAUUAUAAAAAAAAACAAAGCAAGUGAUAAAAAAAACAAAGCAGAAACAAAAAUAAAUUAGUUGUACCUAAUAAAGAACACCUGGGGCCAAAUUAUUUAAAAUGAUGAUUUGAAGGACAAAGUUGAACGAUUAUUUUGAAUAUUUUAAAUAACAUAGCAAAAUAAUUUUUUUAAAAUAUAAAAGAUCAUUUUAAACAUAAAGAACUAAAUGACCAUUUAGCCAUAACAUUAACUAAGCCUAUGCUACAUUUGUUUUUUUGAAAAAAUAUUUUUAUGGCCAACACUAGUUUUAUAUAUUAAUAUCAGGCAUAGCGUCAAUUAAUUCCAGGCUAAAUUUAAUUUUUGAAAAGAAUUAUUAUUAUUAGCCUUAAGCCCUCAACACUAUCAUAGUCAAGCUUUAUUUAUUUCAUUUUCUCUCUUUAAAUAUUUGCUUAGAAAACAAUGAAAAAAAGCAAUAAACUUGUUUAUUGCUUUUUUUCAUUGUUUUCUAAGCAAAUAUUUAAAGAUAGAAAAUGAAAUAAAUAACGCAACAUUGAUGUAAUUAUUUGUAAAAGAAAAUGACAACAUUGGUUGCCGAAACCAAUUACGCAUCUAGUUUCUAAAGGAAUCUAAAGUAUAACGAAUGAGACUUGUUGACAAAUCUUUGCAUGAUUAAUUUCAAACACGAGCACCGCGUUGAUGUCUAUGCAAGCAAUUGAAAAAGAAAAAUGCCUAUGAUGAAUGUCAUAAUGAAAGGAAACUGGAAUAGAAAUUCUAAUGAAAAUAUCAAUUUGGACCAUCAUAGGAAUCUUUAAAAAAAAUAUAAAAACACCAAGUCUAAUUUAAUAUCCAUUAACACCUUAAAGAGUUCUAUUGGAAUCCAUUUCAUAUCCAUUUAAAAUUCUGUUUCAUUUCACAAUGAGUCAGUUACCAUGAACCUUCAGCGCCCACAGUUGGAUUCUUGAAGGCAGAGAACUCCCAGUACGUUUUCAAUGAGAAUGGUGGGAAAACAGUGGCACCUUCAUCUGUAAUUUUAGAUAUCUGCAAACAGUGGCACGUUAGACUAAAUAUCAUAAAUUCAUAAUGCAAGAUAAUAAACCUUCAACUCAACUGGAGAUUAUAUUAAGAGUGCUAAGAUUUUUCAUAGUAAAAAUCCGACAACAAAAGAAGGAAAUCAGGAAGCAAAGUCAUUUUAGUUCAGAUCCGAGCCUCAAUCCUCAGAUACACAUUAUAGGAAGGGUUCGGAUUAUAUACAGUUUAGCAUUCAAGAACUGUAAUGUAAGCAGCAGUCAUUGACUAUCAUAAACUCAUAAUAAUGACCACCAACACUCUACAGAAUUGGCACAGAAAAGAAAUUGAAACUUUUACAUAGAUGAUAUCCUUCGAAACAAGAUUAGCAUACACAACUAUCGGGUAAUGACAAGCAAGCAACCAUAUUCCGGAUCCACACGUUCUUUCACACAAGUACAAUACAGCAUAUUCCAAUUUGCUGUCUAGAAACCUACUAAUUUUUCCUAUCCCAUGUGCUACAAGUGGAGUUAGACCCAAUAAGCGUGCAACCUCAAGUAGAGAAGAGUAGAAAUCGAUCUAGGUAGCAUGAGGUAUUGCUUACAGCUAAAAUCCUACUAAUGAACUUUCUCACAAAUACUUCAGCCAAGAGAAUUGGGUGUCUUGGUCAGUUAGAAACUUGCAUAGGAUAGUAGCCAGGAUCUCUCAAAUAUGUCUGGCAUUGCAUGGUAGGAGCCUGCACCUUCCUUGGGUACAAGAGUACAGAGUAUGGAUUAAUUGUAUUACUGAGAGUGAAAAUUCACAGAUUCUCAACUAAAGCUUUUAUUUCUUGAUUCAACUGUUUGAAGAAGUGCAGCUAGACUGGGCCAAUAUGUUCUAUUCAUUGAAACUAGUUUCCAUACACCACGAGUAAUUUAUGAAGAAAAGAAAAUAUAAGCAUGAAGUCUCGUGUAAAUAGAUGAUGCACAUACAGUCUGAUUCCUUCAUUUUCCCAUAUUGUCUAUUACUUCCUCGUUUCAAAUAUAAACCUCUUGGAACAGGGUGAGACACUGAGACUUGCUUGAAUCAGAAAUUUCACUUGUUUGAAUAAUAACUAUGUUCUGUACAGGUCCAGAAUUAAAACUUCCAGCACAGUUUAAAAAACUCGAUUUUAUGGCAUGUGGCAUAGGAGAAAAUAAUUCCAAAAAAAAAGGUCAAAUCAUUCAAUAACCCAACAAAACGUAGCUAGGAUGAUACUCAAUAUAUAAUUGGAGAAAGACCCUAUAGAAGCAAAGCUAGCUUGUGAUCGAUACAUAUAGGAGUACAUGAAUCAAUAAUUCAGUUGUCUUGUUUUUUUUUUUAAAACUGUCAAAACAGUUUGCAAACACAUGAACUGAACUGUUCUCUGACAGACAGUUUGGUUCUAUAAAACUUAACUUACAAAAUAGUUCAGUUCAGUUUUUUACAAUAGUAGUUUAAUUUUAUACAGUUAAGUUCAGUUGAAGUUCUCAAUUAAUUCAGUUCAAAAUAAUUUUUGAACAGCCCUAUAUAACCAGACUGUGAAUGUUCACUCUCAGUAAUGCAAUUCGAUCUUUAUCUUCAACCUCUAAACCAGUUCUAACUAUAUGUUUUGAUAAAAUGUUAAAUGGAGAGGGGGAGAGGAGAGCAUAGCAAAAGCAAAGAAUAUUAGAGUAGAGAAAAACAAGAAAAGGAACAGUGUAAAACCUGGAUUUUGUUGACAGCAGACCUAUCACGGUAUAAAAGCACACGCAUGCAUUUUUCCAGUAACUUGACGCCCUCUUCAAAGGUCAAGUUUUCAUGCCACUCAUCACGGAGAAUUGGCCUAGCGAGAUGAUUUCCAAGCCCGGUUGCUACAUGGUUGUCCUCAAAAUUAAUGCCAAUCAUGUUAACCUGGAUAAGAUGCAAAGAUUUAGUUAUUAAAAGAAAAACUUCCAGGUAAACGUUUACAAAAAACAAAGACAAAGACAUACCAUGCCAAGGUACUUCUGCCCGUUUUUCACCCCACCAAGUACAAGUGCAUUCCACAAUGGGUUGAACUUGUUACGUCUAUUAUACAUCACACGGGUUAAAUAAUUAUGCACCUCCUUCGGCCCUAGAGAAUUCCCAUCAUCCCACAUGUUGUCAUAUAGGCUGCACAUUCAAAACUCAAAACCAAACAGUCAGAUGGGAAUUUUGAAGUUGUAGACUUGUAGUAUUGAAAAGGUUUAAGGGGAAAAAAUACACAGAUGGAAUUUUUUACUGCGUUUGAAACAAAAUAAAUAGACAAGCCAAGCAAGGAAAACAAAGCAGACCAUCAUUUAACUCAUCACAUCUUUCUGCCUUAAACUUAUUUAAGAUCACCAGUGCAUACUGAGUAACAAUUAAUAUUAAAAGGAAAAAGUACUCACAUAAGCUCAUCAAGGUAACGCAGAAUCUCCUGAAAGUCACUUAUCUCCCCGCUAGCACCAAGAAGAGAAUGCUUUCCAAUAGGCUUGAUACGCUCAACACUCUUGUACCGCAGGGUAGAUCCAUACGAACCUAUCAAUAUAUCCCCCAUUGACAUGAUACGCAAAAUGAUUUCAAUACUUAAAAGCACCAUUAAUCUAUGACGAAAUUUGCAGAGAUAUGGCACAUUUGUGAAUCAGAAAUCAACAAUUAAAACCAGCGCCAGUAAGGAAUCAAAUUGAAUUUCUCCAUAUAUAUAUAUUUUUUUACUUCAAAGAAAACAAAAGACUAUGGGAAAUCAAUUUCCAGAAUAAUCAGAUUAAGAGCAAUUUAACACGAAGAUAAAAACCAGAUUAAAUAUCAGACCUCCCAUGUCAGCGGCCAUUAGAAUCCCAUCUUUGUAUUUGAUAGCGACUACAGAGGAUCCAGUCACGUAUGGGUACCUAAGGGUUAAAACAAAAAUUAGGGCAAAGUAAUAUGCAUUUAAGAGUAAAAUCAAACUAUUCAGUGUGAAAACCCUAAAAUCGAAAAAGUGAGCAUCAUCGAGGAAAAAGGAAUGGAGUAAGAGGGAGAUAGUGUACGUACAGAGUUCGCUCGGAUUCAGCUACACGUUCCAUCGCGACGAGUGUCUAUCACUUGGAUCGUCGUCGCAGUCUUGAAGAAGAAGAAGAAAGAAAACGCAGAGAACGAAAAUGGUAGAAUAAUAGUGUGCCCAAGUAUGAUUCACCGCAAAACGACGUCGGUUCCAAAGUGCAAUUUCGUAAGCCACAAUCCAAACCAAAAUACUGUCCUGUGCUUAAAUAAAAUUUUCUUUUAGUUAAAAAUAUUUUUAAAAUAAUUCUUAUAAAUUAUUACUUUUAAUCAUAAUUAUAAUCAUAAAUAUAAUUUUAAAAGGAUUUGAGUUAUGUAAAAAAAUAAAAAAUAAGUUUGGAGUUAGUAAAAGAAAUUCAUGAAAAAAAAUGAUUUUUCAAUCAAUUCAAAUAAAAACAAAUUAAUAUAAAAAAACAAAAUAUUUUUAUUACAUAUCAAUUAAGUUUAAAUAGUUUUUCCACUUCCACUAAAUUUAACUAAUUCUUUUUGUUUGAAUAAUAUUAAAAUGCACAUCAAUAUAAUAUUUCAUCUAAUAAAGUUAUUGUGUAAUAUAAUUCUAAUUCUACUAACACAUACAAUUAAAAUUUUGUAAUAACAUUGAUAGAGUUUCAACUUAAUGGAUGAUGUCGUGUUUGAAUCUGAUUAGAGUUGUCAAAAACAAAUCCAGUCCAAUGGAUUGAACUAGGCCGUAAAAAACAUGACCUAAGUCAAAUCGGGUGUUUCGGCCCGACACGUUUAGCCCAUUGUGUGUAAUAACAGAGGUGUAAAUAGCAAGAGCCAUAUUUUUUUAUUGAAUAGGGGCCGAGAAGGCCAUAUCUUAAACCAUUGGACCCAUGUCAAAUUGUCAAUGCAAAAGUUACACAGAAUAUCUUUCACGUUAUUGUUGUCAUUUGACAUGAAAAAUUGAGAAAUGUGCUGCAAACACGCUAACAAUUUUUUUGCACACCAAGGGACCAUGCAGCAAGAGCUCCUAAAGCCUGAAUUCCUUAGAAAAUGUGCAAAUUCCAGUGACAAUUUCUGAAAAAUCAAAAGAAAGAAGUCUUAGAACACCAUAUUUAAUCAAUAUUAAAAAAAUAAAAAGCAGAUAUAAGAAUAGGAAUCGUAGAAUUUUUUUUUUGGACAAAAGAAUCAUAGGAAUUAAUGGGCGUAAAAGGCUAGUAAGUUUAAUCUUUAUAGUAUAGUUUCAAAAAUCCUAUCUGAAGUGUACUCAUAAGCUUUUUGAUAAACAAACAUACUUCUUGAUGCUGUGAUGGGAAGUAGGGGGCAUAGUUAGAUUGGUUGGUUACUUGUCUGCUGCCUACAGUAGUGUUAGCCAAGGAUGUUUAGGCUGGGGUUGCUUGUACAGUUAGCCUUUAUUUGGGGAUUUGAGGCCCAUUGUGUUGUACCAGACAUCAUAAGUAGUAACAAUAGCCAAGGUAACUUAACUCUUGUCUCCUUUGUUAGUGUAAAAAGAUUUUGAUUUAGCAAACAUGAGGAACCAGUAUCCUCUGUUCUAAUUGGAAAUUUUGCAAGCUUUGUUUACAUAGAUACAUAGAUACAACAAAUAGAAAAUGUAAAAUAAUAUUAACAAAACUUUAACAAGCACUCAAUUGUCUUUUUUUUAUUAUUAUUAUGUAUCUUGAUCUUUCUGUUGCUUUACAUAUAGACAUUGUUCAUAUGUUGGUUAUUAUCGACUUGUAGGCUCUAAUUACCAAUAAUCACCAAGGACUUGUAGCUCACUUAAUAAUUAAUAGAGGAAAAAUGACAAUUAUACGGGUCCCAUUAAUCAUUUGAACAAUGAUCCUCCACUAUUAUAGCACCUAAAUUGGCAGAAACUUCAUCCCUGACACAGGUAUCCUCUUCAAUGCACCUUUAAAUGUGUAAUCAAUGAGUGGUCUUGAGUCACAUAUAGUUGAGUAAGGAUGACAAUUAUCUCCAUUCUAAUUCGGCCAGUGAGCCUUGGAUGAACAACUAAAGAGUAUCAGUGUAUGUUUGGACACAUUACAUAUGCAUGAAUAAGCUACAAAUCAAGUCAAAUUUGCUCAUUAAGGUAGAAGCUACGAAUUGUUGUUAUGCUUGAAGUCACAUAACCAAACACGCCAUCAUUUGAAUGAGUUUUUUCUUUUCAGACUAUGCAGCAUUUUCCUUUAAGCAUUUACUACAUUUAUAAUUGGUUCGGUACAAUUGUCUUCAUCUUCACGUAACUUGCUUAUGAGUUAUUUCUCUGAUUGGACUUAAAACAACAGAUGUCCUUUUGAUCCAGUUAUCAACAAAGAUUGAAAAUUGAACAAUUUCAUACGACCUGACAAAAGCAUUCAAGUAUUCAACCUAAAAAAAGGUUGUAAAGUGAUGUCCCUUAAAGGAACUGUCACAGUAAUACACACAAUUUUACAUGUAUAAUUGGAAGCCGAGGGAGUUUUGCAUUUCGCCUUGAAAGAUAGACCAACAAGACAAAAAGGAGAUGUGUACCUUUAGUAUAACCAAGUUUAACUAUCAUUGAAUCAACUCCCAGUCAAAGUAACGAACUUUUAAAGUCUCCUUCUUGGCAGUUAAAUUCCAUCUUAUACACAAACACUCACAAUUUCUUGCCAAGCAGUGUUUAGAGACUAAUAUUCUCUUCAUUUUUGUGUAUUAUUAUUAAUUUUUAAUUACUAACAUUAGUUAUUAAUUUACUAUAUUUUGAGGCACUGUCAUAAAUGUGUCAUUCUUGUUAAAUACUACUCAAAUUGCAUUAGUUCAGCCUCACACCUGAAUCCUGAUUAACUUAAAUCAAACACAGAUGCAAGACCAAAAAACAAAAAAAUCAAACACGGAUGAAGAUAGGUUAUGCUCUUCAAGACUGGGGGAAUAACAACUUGCCAUUUGUUUGCUAUAGGCAGAAAUUUUACACAAAUUGAAGUGUCUAGAAGAAUGAAAUCUCAAGUUCGUGUUGAAGGGAGAUCCCACAAUCAAUAAGUAUUCUUCCAAGCCAUGCUUUUGACUCUUUGAGUCAUAUAAGUAAUACCAAAAAUCUGAUAAAUGUUGUAUCCAAAAAGAGAGCAAAUGUUGUAUGUGUGAUCAUAGUACUAGUAUGGCUGUUGGUUCGAAAAACGUUCAAAUAUUCUUCGUUCUUGAGGGCAAUAAAACGACACAUUUAAGCAAGGGUAUACCUCGUCUGAUAUAAUGUGCUCCAAUUCAACUUUCUUGAUAAUAUAAUAGGAUUGUCCUUUGGUUGGGAAGAUCCAAUAUUUGCGCACAUGCAAUUUUCGGCUAAAGUCAUUUCAUUUUUUACUUCUUUAGUGAAUACAUGGCACGAGGAGGGAAAUGAGAAGAAGAAUUUUGCUUUUCUUUGGUUCAGCUUCAUAGACACAAGGACAAUUGAUCAUUCAUUUUUAGGCAUUCCCUUGCAUGGUUAUUCAGAACAAUCAUAGUAUGUAAUAAUAACGUAGCAUGCCCUCUAACAGUCAUAGUAGUGUGCGUUAUUCAUAUAUGAUAAAUCUCAUAAAGUGAUAGGUAGUACUGCAUAUCCAGUGAACAUAGAAGAAAUAAACAACAGAAACAAUUGACCAUGAUCCUAUUCUGAUAUGGAUGAUAUAGGCUUGAAUGCUUGAUGGCUAAACCCAAUGUACAAGAAUUCACUUAUGCUGAUAUGCUCAUAUGUAAUUCAUUUAAUGUAACAAAUACUUUUCCCUUGGACUCCACCUGAUUUCGAAAUUCUUUAUUUGUUCCUUCAAUAUGAAUUCCUUCCAAAUUUCUGGCGUGUGAUUGGCGAAACAUGUUUCUUUUGUGUGUGUUCCAGAGAAAGAAAAAUAUAAACCAUGUAUAAACUGCGGCAAAAUAGUCAGUCAUAAGUCAGAAGCCAAGUUAGUCCCACAACGAUUAACUUAUAAGAAUGCACGUUGACAACAUUGUAUAAAUACGGACCAACCAGCAACCUUAAAACAUACUUACCUGGAUGGGGUCAAUGGGUGAUCAAAAAGGCCCAUGGCCUAGGUUGGUGGCCUCCAUUGCACUUAGGAGGGGUGCCCACCUAAGGUCUCCCCAAGUGGGAGAGCCUACAUCAUAAUUUGUGCUAGUGGGGGCCUGCGUUCGCGCGGCCCCCUUCGAUUAAGUUCAAGCUUUUAUGACAUCAGUAUCAAUUUACGAUGUCUUGUAUACUUCAAUUAAGUUUUAGCUUUUACUACGUGUGCAUUAAAAGGCUUCAUUUUAUAAUAACCUAUCCAAUAUAUAUGUAUGUCCUUUUAAACUGAAAGGAAGUUAAAUUAUAAGGCUAUAUAAUGAAUUUUAUUUGAUUUUGCAGACUGUAUAAGCUCGGCUUCCUCCUUGACAACGUAUGUGUCCGUGGUAAGUAAUGUCCCCUAAAGCUAUCAAAAGCAUGCACCACAACAAUAAAGGGAAAAGCUCAUUUUAAAAUGUAUUUGUAUAAGUUAAAUAUAAAUGUUGAAUUUAUUCUGUCUCAUGCAUUAAUAAUUUCAUUAUGAACUCAAGGGACGGGUGGGCUUGUUGGGAUGGCUUCAUCUUUAGUUCAAUAUAGGAAAUCAAAAUAAAUAUAACUAAUAAUGAGCAUUGAAUAUAUAUAUGCCCACGGCUUUUUCUUUGGAAAUUUUGAAGGUUCAAAUGAUUUUUUGAGAAGUGGAACUAUGGUUUCUCUCUUUCCCGCAGAGAAAGAAUGUCUACUCUCAAUACUAAAUUCUUGUUUCUUUUUUAAUUCACUCAUUUUCAGAAUUAUUAUACACAAACUAGCUUGAAAAUUUUGUGCCCAUUGUCGAAGACUCCACCAUGACUAAGGGUCUAAGCCCCAUCGAAUAAGUCCCAUAUCACUUAGAAAAGAUGAAAAUGACUCCAGAGCUUAUUAUAAAAUAAACAUUUUUACACUGUUAUAUUCAUACCUUUCUCGGCCUUUUGGCUAAGAUCAAGUGUAGUAUCUGUUCUUAUCAGUUUAAUAUCUGAUAUGUGGACCAUUGGUCCACACGAUAUUAAAUUACUUUUUUGAAGGGGAGGGGCCAAUACAGUAGCUUGCUACUGGGUCUCUCAUGGGUCGCCCAUGUGUUGCACUAUUGCUUGGGCCUGGCGCAC